UACCAUUGAUGUCCAAUAGCUUUGAUAGUAAUGGCUGCAUCUACAAAUACCCCAUCCAUUGAGUAUAACAGAGCAAAUGAUGGUAUAGCAAUGAACAAUGGAAUGACACUAGGAAAAAUGGUCCAAAUAAUUUCGAUUGUAGUUCCAUGAACAAUCCUUUGCGGGAUUGGAUUAGUUUGCUCGUUGAAAUGCCAUAAAGCGCGAACCAACAUCCGUGAUACGAAAACCAAAAUCAGAAUGAGGAAGAAAAAUAUAUCGUGAUGUAAGUCAAUGAUUCCUUGCAUCAUAGGUGUUGCUGCGUCUUGAGAUCCUAAUUCACAUGGUUCCGCAACAUCACAAAGAGCGAUUGUGAGGAAUCGACAUUCUAAUGAACGAAGAAUCAUUGGCAGCACCAGAAGUAGGACCAAACCAAGAGUGAGUAGCAUAGACAAGGAUAUAUUUGUGAAUGAGGCAAAGUACUUGCCAAUAUUCAAAUCCAGAAUUGGGUGAAUUCCAAAUUGAUCCAGGGGGCUCUCUGCUGCAAAACCUGCAGCACCAUCCACAUUCAUCAGGUCAACUCCUGCGGAACUCCCUGCCUCAUUUCCAUUCGCUAGGUCAACUCCUCCUGAGCUUCCCGCUGGGUUUCCUCCUCCAGGAAGAUCCACGUCAUUCGACACUCCUAUCUUGAAAGCUUCACUUUCUCUUCCAUGUGCCCUUAAAUCCUCGAGCUGCCCUUGCAAAAAUGCGAUAUUAUCGCUUUCUCCAUGCACACAUUCGGUGACAGCCACAACUUCGGGGUGCUCCCCGUCCAUCCUCAUUAAUUCACUCAUUUGCUCCCUUAUACCGGCUUGAUAUUCCACCACCAUUUCAUCGGUCGGGUUCAGACCUGGGUGGUCCUCAUAAAUCCCAGUUGAACCCCCCUGAAUCGGAACACCAUUAGCAUUACUUGUAUUAGAACCAUCAGUCAUCAUUCUAAUAGAACUUGUGAUUGUAUUAACAGAAGUCUCGGUUGAAUUGAGAGAUGCCUCAUCAAAUCUAAAGAUAAGGCACUCCCUUAGUCAUUCUGCCAAGGAAUUAGAUUCGAUGGUGGUAUGGGACACCCUUGGCUAAAUAACUAGGUAAGUCUUAUGUUGGGUUCUGGUCGUGGUCGACCGGAACGGGGGCAUCUGGCAAGCGCUUAUAGUUCCGGCUCAGGAAGAUUGGAUAUGGGCAUAGUUCCCAAAGCUUUACCAUGUAGUCUGGACUAUAAGUUGGUUACGUUAGGUGUGCUCUAUGCAGUUUGACCAUUUCCAGCAUUUGCAUAAUGAGGAUUGUAGGGAAAAGCCUCGUAGUGAGACCCUAGCCAUUCACCUCAGAAGUGAAUACGGGUCUAGCUAACCCGGGCUAGAAGGGAAUCGCAACUUAUGGGUAAAGAUGCGCCACCUCUGCAGAGUGUAAAACUGAUAUAUCAGCCGUGCUCACGGUUAUGAGCAGCAUGGACUCCUCACAUAAUAAUUGAACUUGAAGAUGGAAAUAAAUCGAGAUCCGAUGAUCUGCCAAUGGUUUGCUUAAGUGGUUUCACUUAAGUGUUUUUGAUAUACUCUUAUACCUUUGUUUAAUGGGAAUACUUGGGAUUCACACUUAUUAGUAAGACAUGUGUUGUUAAUAAAAUAUUGACCAACUAAAAUGCUUACUACUCAACCUUAGCCUCACCUUGUUAAACUUGCAUUAAUUUCCCCCCACUUGCUGAGCCCUGACCAUAAGUGAGCUCACCCUUGCUUAAAUUUUGAUCAGAAGUUCACAGAUGAAGUUAUGAUGCUGAGCUCCAUGGAUGCUAGUCUAGUGAUACCCUCGGCCAUCUUCCUGUGGAUGGAUGUCCAUGUUUUGCUGUACUUUGACGAAUAAAUGUUAAGACAUUAUGUCUGUUCGAAGUGUAAUAUUUUAAUAAAAUCAUUAUUUACGCUUUUAUGCAUUGUUUUUUUGAUAUAUUACACUUGUGAUGUCAACAUAUGUGUGGAAAUAGAUCCUGGCACACAUAUGCUAUGCACCCGGCUCUGCCCCUUUGGAAACGGGUGUGACACCAGCGCUCGGAAUAUUUUAAUCGUUUUUUGAUAACAAGCUCAUGGAAGGUAUUUUUCGGACCUUCGGCAUUCCGAAGCCUUUGUGUUUUUCACGGACUGAGCUCGUUACGAAAAACCGAUCUAGCACCGCGAAGGGGCUACUGUUGGGGGUCUUCUUCUCCGUCGAAGGUCCUCAAGACAAAACACCUUCGGCAAAAUGAUACAGAAGUAUUCCCUUCUUCUGCCGAAGAUCCUCAAGACGAAGACCUUGUGUAGAAGCAACAUUGCCAAAUGCCAAAAGCUACCAUCAGCUUCGGUUCAAGUCAAGCAGAAGAAGAAUAGACCAUAUAGACCUUAGUAAUCUAGGUUGUCCGUAGAUAAAUGUUGAGGGACAUGAAUGUAAUUUCACCCGGGCUACGUCUUGUGCCUAUAAAUAGACGAACAGUAACACCGUACUGUUCACGCUGAAUUGUAAUCACUCUCUUGCGUCUUCACCUUCAAGCAAGCCAAAGGUAUUAAUGUAAUAUGACUUCUGUUAAUAUUCAUACAUGUUUUAUGGAAUGCAAAUAUGGAUAAAUUAACGAGAUGUAGUUAUUAUCUUUGUCCCUUUACAUUCAAGUUCACAUAUUAAAUAAUGAAGGUAUGUCCUUCAUGACCUUCGUCUAAUGAGUAUUAUAUCCAUGGGGAGGUAAUGAUUCAGAAGAUGAAGGUCCCUAAUAAUCGACAAUUAUAUUGUCUUGUUCUUGAUUCACAGCAUUUGAGAACGAGUGACCAACACUCCCGCAACGAGACUAGGAUAAAUCGGAGGCAGACAACGUUUUCUAGUCAACACUGUUUUGUCCCUCUAUUGUUUACACCGAGGCACCAAAAUGUCUUCAGUAGCCUUCAUAUCUUACCUUUAUCUAUACACUCUCUGAGCAUGGGCUAGCAAGCAUUUUACCUCAUAUAGGAGACCACCUACUCUAUUUUUUUCUAUUAAAACCACAAGUUUGCUCUGCUCAUCUACAACAAGAAGUGAAAGCGGAAAAGACGUCUACUAUUGCCAUAUGACCUGCCAGUAGCAAGCUUUUCUUCUGUUCCCCUAUCUCUUCAACUCAUCACUUGUCAUUUGUCAUUUGUCAAGUGAUGUGGACAGAGAGCGCGGCCGGCAAAGCAAACCUAUGCGGCCCACAUGUUGUAGCGCCGCUCAUCUACCUCUACCCUCCUCGCACCGUGGCCGUCGCGCACUGCACCGAGACGCCGACGACAUGAGUCCGGUCUCCCACGGAGCUUGAAGCCCACCCCACCCUCUCCAUCCCCACGACGCCAAUGCACCGUCUCCAUCCUCGCAACGCCAACCCACCGUCUCCAUCCGCGCAACGUCGACCCAGCCCAGGCUCCUCCUCCCUACGUAGCCGUCGCUGGCGCUGCUCCCCCCAAUAGGUGCAGUGACUUUGGCUUCCCCCACGGCACUCGGUCGUUGCCUCUCGCGGCAACAGAGCCUUCUUCCCACGGCGACCAAGCACCUGCGCUGGAUUCUGCGGCGACAUUGGAAGCUUCUUGUAAAGCCCUAAAGUUUUUGUAAUAAAAUAAAUAAAUACAUGUAUCUGUUCUGCCACCAUUCCCAUUCCUUGUUCUUCAUUUCUCAUUCCCUCCUCCCCGUACUGCCCAUUCCCAUAUUCUGCCAUCAUUUUAUGUUCUGUCAUUCCCAUUCUUUGUUCUGCCUUUCUCAUUCCUCCCUCCCCACAAAGCCCAUUCCCAUUCCCCCGUACAGCCCAUGUCUAGCUAAAAUUUAAAAAAAUCACACAUGCCCCAAGGGGAUUUGAACCUGUGACUUCUCAAGCAAAGGCCAGAAGUAGCUACCGCUACACCACAUGUGUGUUUAUGUCUGCAUCUAUGACAGGAAACACAUCUACUACAUCUCUCACCAAGCCCACUUGCUACUCUUGCACAAUGCGUAGUAGUAGAUAAGUAUCACCGAGAUUCUUGAAUUAUAUUUUUGGAUGGAGGUAAUAUUAUUUAAAGAAGAGCUUUGCAUGCAAUUUAUUUUGUUUGAAUAAUGUUUUAUACUUAAAUUCCUUUUUUUUGCAUUUGUGACAUUUAUUCUUCGUAAUUUUUUCCAUGGAUCAGACUUAUGAGUCAUUUUCAUAAACCAACGCCAACCAUAAAUCCAUGUUUCUUACUUGAAACCCUGAACAAACACCAUUAGCAGGAGGCAUGUCACACCCGGAUUUCGGGGCACCAAGACCCGGGCGCGAACAUAAUCACCAGGUGUGCUGGGACCAAGUCUCACACAUAUGAUGAAUCAUGGCACAGGAUCGAAUGUCACAUCUUUACUAUAUAACAGGAGUUCUAUACAAAAUAAAUACAUAAAUAAUUACAUCAAAAGGAGACAAUGAUCCAACAACCCAAAGUUGACUGGGAGAUGAAGACCUAGACCUCUCACGAACACAUCGCAACAUCCUCCAUGCGCCUCAUCCUGCGGUACCUGUUCUUGGCCUGUGGGGGGUGUGAGACAGCAAGAGUGAGCUCACAUACGUUCAUCGCUCAACAAGUUGUGGGGAAUAAUGUGCAUGAACUCGCCAAAGGUGGAAGCUCAUGUGAAGUGUAAGGCUUACCAAAGAGGAUGGUUAGAGCUGAGCAUUGCUUUUAAAGUUGGUCAAAUUUUUAUUAGCAGUUACUAAGUAUAAGUAAAUACCAACCCAAUUAAGUAGUAGAACAAAAGUAACAACAUCACAUGCGAUGCAAUGCAUAUGACAAAUUGAAUUUAGUUCCAUAAAUUAAUCAUGUGAGUGUCCGAGCUGCUCAUGACUGUGAGCACGACUAGUAUACCAGUUUUACACUCUGCAGAGGUUGCACAUCUUUACCCACAAGUCAUGUUACCCAUCUGCCAAGAGACGGCCAAUCCCAUACACCUCUACCGAGGAGGCGAGGCAGGGUAACACUACGAGGCCUUUACAAAGUUCCACUAGCUUCGGAAAACCCGCUACAGUUAUAGGAAGCUCCAGUGCAGGAAACCCUCGCCUGACCGCCAUCGCAGCAAAAUCAACCAAGGACCUCCCUACACUGACCACUCCCCUACUGCCCUUGCCCCUUUCGGGUAAGGUAGUCCUCCACUAGCUUUCCUAGUUAAUCAGCCAAGGGCGUCCAUUAAACCCUUGUGGUAGCUGUUUUCCCGGGUGGUUCUCCAUGUUCCCAUUAACAUAAUGAUCUUAUCAUGAACAGUAAAUAAUGAACAGAUAAUAAAGAUAUAAUCAUGAACAAUGUGUAUCUCCAUACCCAAAACCACAUAAAGCAAUAGCAUGUACUACCCAAAAAUUCAGUGGUAAACAAGGUAUAAAGAUAGUCAAAUCUAGGGUAACCUAUUGGGUCCCAUCAAAAUUAAUCUAUGCAGAUCAUUAUGAUUAAUAAGAACAUGACUGGGUAAAGAGGAAGUGAUCAAGAGCACAACUUGCCUGGCACUUGAGAUUCCAGGUACCAACUUGCUCUUCAGGUGACUCGUAACCUUGCCGCUACUCGUAGCAAUACAAACAAACAUGACAUAGGCAAAAUUAACAUCACACUAAACAUAAGUACAAACUGAAUAAUAAUAUUCUACGCGUCUCUACGAGAUCGUAGAAACAAAAACCAUUAAAUUCGGAGCUACGGUUAUUAAGUUAUGAAUUUCCGAAAUUAUUUAGUGCUUAGAUUAGAUUAAUCCUAAUGAACAAUUUUAAUUCAAGUUUCAUGGUUAAACAAAGGUACUAGGUGAUAAAAAAUAUUAAUACAAAAUUAUUGCAACUGGAAUGACUCAAUUUGGAGUUAAAAUGAAUUUACUAUGAAUUUCACAAGUUCUAGAAUUAUUUCCACCUUAAAAAUCAUUUUCUACUUACUUUUACUGGAUUUUCUAAUUCUCCGGACUGGGCGCACAAAACCAGAGAAGCACAAGGUUUAAUCUAUAAGAUUUCCUAGACUCAGAAUUCACUGUGCAGGAUGGUGGGCUAUUUCUCCUAUUUUAAGGGGGUCUUUAGCAAAACUUAUGGCCGAAAGGGUAUGGGCGGAUGAGAGCUGUUGGAUCACGAUUGAGCGAUGUGGAUUAGAUUGAGACUUCAUUAACGUGGUGUGAUCUAGCAGCCCUUGGAUCAGGGAUCCACGGUCAGAGACUAACGUGUCCCCAAAACCGUCCGAUAUGAAUUGAAUGGCCCGAUCCUCGUCUUCCAGCUCCUGACCUAAUCCUAGCCGUUCCUUAGACUAUCGACGGUCCUGGCACCUUCUCUUCCCCUGGCCACGCAUCGCGAUGGCACUCAACAGCCCGCACGGCCGCACCCGCUGGCGGUUAGCGUGCCCGGUGCCCUAUUUUCCUACCGAAAGCGAGCAACGCGAAGAGAAGACGGAGGCAGACCUAGCUGUAGGUUCCUUACCGCGGAUUCGGGCACGGAGACGAACGCCCACGAUGGAACGCAACUCGCGAUGGACGCCACAGCUCCGGUGAGCCAUUGCCCGAGUUCCGACCGACCGUUCAUCAAAUUGUCGGUCGGGAUAGCUUCCCCGUGCCCAGUCGAAGCUCCGCCUCUAUUCCCUGGAUUCGGGCCGUCGACAGAGGCGAGGAACGGCGACAGCGGUGGCCGACCGCACUCCCCCUACUCAAUUCGCACACGGUGAAGCCCUCGAUGACCCUCUGGUGGUGGGCAGGGGCGGUGGUUUAUAUUCCCCGCGAGGACCCCCCAUCGGCCGAAGAAAAUGGAGUCCGUUGUGGAGUUUGUUGCGGAGUUAGUUGGCCGUGAGCUCGGAUGUCAACGGAGUUCUCCGCCGCGCGAGGUCCGUGGAUUCUGUUGCUAGCCGCGAGUCCGAGUCACACCUAGGAGGUUGGAGACGCCCGUGGCUCGGAGUUCACCCAGCUUUCCAGGGAACCAUGGAGACCAGAACGACAGGAUUUGGUGGCGCGCGACGGCGAACGAGGAGGUGUUGUUACGGUGAAGGAGAGCCUGACGGUGAAAGUCCACGAGUCAGUGAGGAAUUUGGCUCAGGCGCGCGCGGUGCUCGCUGACAAGGCGGUCCCGCAGUUGGCCACACACGUGAAGUGGGUGCGAGGGAGCAGUCCGCGCCCAGGAGAAGGGUUCAGGCUCGCGUCUGGUUGUGGGCCGCACGAGAGCAAGGGAGAUGGGCCGCAUGGGGCAAUUUCGGCCCAGGUGAGGUAGAAUUGUUUUGUUUUUUUGUUCAUUUCCAUUUCCCAUUUCUAGUUUUCGAACUUGAGUUCAAUUAUGUGUUUUAAAUGCUCAUCCAAAAUUCUAGCAUGAUGCAAUUAUUUUGAAUACAAAUUCGAAUCUAGGUUCAGGAUUCACAUUCAUAUGCAUAAUUAUAACAACACUUCGCAUGCAAAAUAUAAUUUUAUGUUAUUUAUUUCUCAUCUCAUUUAUUUAUGCUUAUGCUUUUAAAUGUGCACACAAAAUAUGUAUUUUAAGAAAUUUAGUUCUAGUUUUAAAAAGAUCCUUAAGAGUAAUGUCUAGAAGAUAUGAUUUAUCAAAGGAACAAAUUAUUACUGAGCUCCUUUCUUUCUUUUUUUCUGGAAACAUUGUUUUAGGAUGUAUAGUUUCAAAGGUAAGAUAAUUCUUAUGAAAAAUAUAUUUUAACUCAACAUCAGGGAAAAGUUUUACAUAAUUCUCAAAAUGAGAUUUUGAGGUGUUACAAAUCCUACCCCCCUUAACAAAAAUCUCGUCCUCGAGAUUUGUAAGGAAAGGAAUACAAAAGGAUUGGACUGUAAUUCAACUUUUAGUCUAUAAUUGUUUCAAAUAUCCAGAUUAUUUUAUAGUCAAUUGUGGGUGAUUAGGAGAGCAUAGGUAUCCAACUACUUAUUAGGUAUGAUAUAAGAGAUGGAUAGGUUAGGGUAAUAAUAGCCUGGGGUAAAAGUUUAUAGUGAGAAAGAACUUUUGUUGGGUAGUAAUUCCCCUGAUGAUCAAGUUUGACUUCUCUAUCCUUCCUUCACAAGGUUGAUCUUUUCCUUUUCCAGUCUUGCUCUUUGGUGUCUCCAUCUGUGUUUGGGACAAGAGGCUAAGAUAGAUCUGUUAUAUAGGUCAAGUUGUUGGGUAUGGCCGAGUUGAUCUAGGUCACCAGUUUAAGCUUAAGUGGAUUUAGAGUAUGGCUUUAUCCUUUGUACCAGCAUUAAGUAACUUACUCUAGAUUAGAUAAUAAUAGAUUAGAUAGAAUCUAGAUUAGGUUGGUACGACUAGAUUAAACUAGUUAAGAUCUCAUUAAUUUGGAUUAGGUACUGGUGGUUACUUUAGGAUCAGAUAAAUAUAGUGGUUAGGAUAAAAUGAAUCUUUCAUGAUAAGAUGAAUCUAUUAGGAUAAGAGAGUCUUUUAAGAUAAGAUGAAUUGGUUAGAAUGGGAUCUUUUAGGAUAAGAUAAAUCUCUUAAGCUAGAUAUAUUCCAAUGGGGACAAUCUAGGUUGUCUAGUUAUUUUAUAAAUAUAUUUUUAUACCUAUGUGUAUAUGUAGAUGCAAUUGUGGACAUUACUCCACAACUCAUCACACUCAAUCAAAGAUCCAAAUCAAACAUGUAUCAUAAGAACAAGCAUUCAAGCAUAUCAAUAUUUACUUAAAUAGUUUUGAUUUUUUUCCUACGAGUAGGUCUCCUAUUCCUAAAGCUCACUUUAUGUACAAGAUUUCAAAGUGUGAAAUCCACAUUUGUCUUUAGAAAGAAAAGGUAAGAAUAAUCAGAGUAAAGCGGAAAUAGAUGAGAAAAGAUUAAGAAAAGUUUAGAAAGAAUCAGAGUAGCAAAGGUAAGUAAGUAUUGGUUGUCCAGUUCUAUCUAGGUUUCGUCCUACAGUCAAUAUUCCUCUGAUACCACUUCUGUCACACCCAGAUUUCGGGGCACCAAGACCCGGGCGCGAACAUAAUCACCAGGUGUGCUGGGACCAAGUCUCACACAUAUGAUGAAUCAUGGCACAGGAUCGAAUGUCACAUCUUUACUAUAUAACAGAAGUUCUAUACAAAAUAAAUACAUAAAUAAUUACAUCAAAAGGAGACAAUGAUCCAGCAACCCAAAGUUGUCUGGGAGACGACGACCUAGACCUCUCACGAACAUAUCACAGCAUCCUCCAUGCGCCUCAUCCUGCGGUACCUGUUCUUGACCUGUGGGGGGUGUGAGACAGCAAGAGUGAGCUCACAUACGUUCAUCGCUCAACAAGUUGUGGGGAAUAAUGUGCAUGAACUUGGCAAAGGUGGGAGCUCAUGUGAAGUGUAAGGCUUACCAAAGAGGAUGGUUAGAGCUGAGCAUUGCUUUUAAAGUUGGUCAAAAUUUUAUUAGCAGUUACUAAGUAUAAGUAAAUACCAACCCAAUUAAGUAGUAGAACAAAAGUAACAACAUCACCUGCGUAAGUAGUAGAACAAAAGUAACAACAUCACCUGCGAUGCAAUGCAUAUGACAAAUUGAAUUUAGUUCCAUAAAUUAAUCAUGUGAGUGUCCGAGCUGCUCAUGACCGUGAGCACGGCUAGUAUACCAGUUUUACACUCUGCAGAGGUUGCACAUCUUUACCCACAAGUCAUGUUACCCAUCUGCCAAGAGACGGCCAAACCCAUACACCUCUACCGAGGAGGCAAGGCAGGGUAACACUACGAGGCCUUUACAAAGUUCCACUAGCUUCGGAAAACCCGCUACAGUUUAUAGGAAGCUCCAGUGCAGGAAUCCCUCGCCUGACCGCCAUCGCAGCAAAAUCAACCAAGGACCUCCCUACACUGACCACUCCCCUACUGCCCUUGCCCCUUUCGGGUAAGGUAGUCCUCCACUAGCUUUCCUAGUUAAUCAGCCAAGGGCGUCCAUUAAACCCUUGUGGUAGCACUGUUUUCCCGGGUGGUUCUCCAUGUUCCCAUUAACAUAAUGAUCUUAUCAUGAACAGUAAAUAAUGAACAGAUAAUAAAGAUAUAAUCAUGAACAAUGUGUAUCUCCAUACCCAAAACCACAUAAAGCAAUAGCAUGUACUACCCAAAAAUUCAGUGGUAAACAAGGUAUAAAGAUAGUCAAAUCUAGGGUAACCUAUUGGGUCCCAUCAAAAUUAAUCUAUGCAGAUCAUUAUGAUUAAUAAGAACAUGACUGGGUAAAUAGGAAGUGAUCAAGAGCACAACUUGCCUGGCACUUGAGAUUCCAGGUACCAACUUGCUCUUCAGGUGACUCGUAACCUCGUCGCUACUCGUAGCAAUACAAACAAACAUGGCAUAGGCAAAAUUAACAUCACACUAAACAUAAGUACAAACUGAAUAAUAAUAUUCUACGCGUCUCUACGAGAUCGUAGAAACUAAAACCAUUAAAUUCGGAGCUACGGUUAUUAAGUUAUGAAUUUCCGAAAUUAUUUAGUGCUUAGAUUAGUUUAAUCCUAAUGAACAAUUUUAAUUCAAGUUUCAUGGUUAAACAAAGGUACUAGGUGAUAAAAAAAUAUUAAUACAAAUUUAUUGCAACUGGAAUGACUCAAUUUGGAGUUAAAAUGAAUUUACUAUGAAUUUCACAAGUUCUAGAAUUAUUUUCACAUUAAAAAUCAUUUUCUAAUUACUUUUACUGGAUUUUCUAAUUCUCCGGAGUGGGCGCACAAAACCAGAGAAGCACAAGGUUUAAUCUAUAAGAUUUUUUAGACUCAGAAUUCACUGCACAGGAUGGCAGGCUAUUUCUCCUAUUUUUAAGGGGGUCUUUAGCAAAACUUAUGGCCGAAGGGGUAUGGGCGGAUGAGAGUUGUUGGAUCACGAUUGAGCGGUGUGGAUUAGAUUGAGACUUCAUUAACGUGGUGUGAUCUAGCAGCCCUUGGAUCAGGGAUCCACGGUCAGAGACUAACGUGUCCCCAAAACCGUCUGAUAUGAAUUGAAUGGCCCGAUCCCCAUCUUCCAGCUCCUGACCUAAUCCUAGCCGUUCCUUAGACUAUCGACGGUCCUAGCACCUUCUCUUCCCCUGGCCACGCAUCGCGGUGGCACUCAACAGCCCGCACGGUCGCGCCCGCCGGCGGUCAUCGUGCCCGGCGCCCUAUUUUCCUACCGAAAGCGAGCAACGCGAAGAGAAGACGGAGGCAGACCUAGCUGUAGGUUCCUUACCGCGGAUUCGGGCGCGGAGACGAACGCCCACGAUGGAACGCAACUCGCGACAGACGCCACAGCUCCGGUGAGCCAUUGCCCGAGUUCUGACCGGCCGUUCAUCAAAUUGUCGGUCGGGAUAGCUUCCCCGUGCCCAGUCAAAGCUCCGCCUCUAUUCCCUGGAUUCCGGCCGUCGACAGAGGCGAGGAACGGCGACAGCGGUGGCCUACCGCACUCCCCCCUACUCAAUUCACACACGGUGAAGCCCUCGAUGACCCUCUGGUAUACAUGUCCAAAUGGGCGUGCCGGGCCAGCCCGGCACGGGCACGGCUGGACCCGGCACGACUUUGGCGUGCUCAUGCACGGCACGCCAGUGUCAUGGGCCGGACCGGGCUGGCACGUGGGCCCAAAUCCCUGCCCAGGCAUGGCACGCCAACUGUUAAUCGGGCCGGGCCGGGCCGGGGGCACGGGCAGCCCGUUGGUGCUGUGCCGGGCUCGGGCCCAGUUACAUAAUCCACAUGACAAAAUUCAGAGUUAACAGAAUACAAGAUUACAAGUCAAAGAGGCUACAAAAUAGUCUUUAAAUGGUUUGGAGCUUUAGUGCAAUGCUGCCUCAUUAAAAACCUUCCUAGGUAAAAACUCACACUUCGUGAGAAAACCCUAGGAAGGAAAAGAGUACAGCCAGCUCCUUAAAGUAUUUAUAAGUUCAUAGUUCAGUGUUCAGUCCACAGUCAGUCCAUAUGAGCAUAUUACAGAUUUACAGCAGAUAAGAGAAGUAGAGAACUUAAAUAGGUAGAAACAGAGAGAAUAAGUUCAUAGUCCAGCUCCAGCCCUUCUUGAACUCUGUGGUGCUGCUUCCUUUCUUUUGUUCCCUGGUGAUACUCGCUGCUCAUCAUCUAGGUACAUAUCCUCAAAGGUUGCUUCAAGGUCUUUGGUUUCCUUCUCCACAGUAUGCUGCUUGUGCUGGUCAGCCAACUCCCAAUCUUUGAUACAGGAGAGCACCUCCACCAUGUCUGUCGUCAACCGUCGUCGUCGCUCCUCGAGCACCCUGCUAGCUAGACUGAAAGUAGAUUCUGAAGAUAUUGUAGAAACAGGGACAGUCAACACAUCUUUAGCUAGUAUAGAAAGAAUAGGAUAAGUUUGAUUGUGGCGUUGCCACCACAUAAGAAUGUUGAAAUCAGGCCCAAAUUUAGUUUCAGUGUCACUGUCAAGGUAAGAAGUUAACUCAGAUAAACUAGUAGAUGUACCAGCUGUACCACCUGUACCAGUAUUGCUAUAACUUUCAUCAUCACCAUAUGUUGGGGACUUGUUCUCAAAUGCUAAGAGUUAAGAACAGGGCAACAUAAAAAGUGUUAAGUGUUAAAGUCCUUCGUCCUUCGAAGCAUUAUGUCCCUUCGGGAAAUAAUGAGUUUCGGACGAAGGUCAUAAGAGGCAUACCUUCGUAAACAUAACAAGUAAUGACGAAGGACUCAUAUAAAGCAUGAAAUAUAAUAUAAGCAUCAUCAUAGAAUCAUUUCUAUUUUAUUAACAUGGAAACAUAGAAAUGAUUUCAAAUUACAAAAUGUACCUUCGGUCCUGAGAGAAGGUAAAAAGUACAAGCGUGACGCAAAAGCAAAUGCCAAGUCAGCGUGAACAGUACGGGGGUACUGUUCAUCUAUUUAUAGACACAGGACGCAGCCUGUAACGAAUUACAAUUAUGCCCUUUACAAAAGUUUACAACAUUAUGCUAGACCUCUAUGGAUAAAAAGGUCAUUCUAUCUUUAUGUCGGUUUGCAACGCCGAAGCUCUAUGAAAAGGAACCUUCGGCCAUUUCCUGGGGACGAUUUCAGCCGAAGCUGCUUCUUCACGCAAGACCUUCGGCGCAACGAAGCAUGGGCCCAACAGUAGCCCCUUUCGCGGCGCUAGAUCGUUUUUCGUAACGAGCUUGAACCGUGAAAAAUCCUCUCAAGCUUCGGGAAGCCGAAGGUCCAAAAAACACCUUCCCUGAGCUCGUUGCCGAGAAACGAUUCAUUUCCCGAGAUCGUGUCGGUCCCACCUUGCAGAGUCACUGUUUGGUCUUUGCGGUCCACUGCGCAGCGAGUACAAGUUACUGCCCGCCUGGUGUAAAAACCCUGCCGCUUCGCCUUCUUACCUGCAGCACUAUAUAAACAGACGAGUAGGUGUGAAGUUACCACAGCAUUUACUGCUAUUUGCACUGUUUUGCUGCCAAAAUUUUUAACCAUCACCGAAGCUUGUUUGUCAGAUUUGAACGAAGCUCCAUCUUGAAGCCUGCUUCGGAGAAAAAAGUAUCAAAGUUUCACAAGUUCAUAAUUAAAUGGCCAGAGUUCGCUCUACAGCUAGGGUUGAGCGUGAGGGGGACGAAACUGAAGCUUCGGAGACUGUGCCCAUCUCCGAAGCGAUGCAGCGCUCCGGACUGGUGACUGCGGAAGAAAUGCCUGCUGCCGAAGCAAACCCGACAGCUGCCGAAGGAGAAGGGAACAUUGAAGAAACCGACUCCGAAGAUGACUACCGUAUUGCCAUGCCCAGCAAACCCAGCCACCUAGACUUCGGAAAAUCGACUGUUUCAAAGGUUGAUCUCGCCAAGAUGGUGAAAGCAGGUUUUUUCAGUGAAGAUCAGAAGAAGCUACUUCGCUUCGGGGGAGAAGAGACCACCCCGAAGCCAGAGAAGGACGAGGUUGUCAUCUUCAAAAGCUUUUUAAAGGCUGGGCUAAGAUUCCCUGUUCACGAGAUUGUUGCGGAGAUAUUGAAGAGGUUUGGCAUCUACCUUCAUCAGUUAACUCCUAACGCUAUCGUUAGGCUUAGCGUUUAUAUUUGGGCCCUCCGAAGCCAAGCAGUGGAGCCUUUUGCUGACAGUUUCUGUCGAGUUCAUGAAUUGCAUUAUCAAACAAAGGCCAGAAAAGAUGGGCUUCAUGAAAACUUCGGUUGCUACAAUUUUGCCUACCGGAAAACCGCAAAGUUUCCUGUAAUCAGCUACCGAAGCAAAUGGCCGGCAGGCUGGAAAUCAGAAUGGUUCUAUGUCAAGGUUGAUGAGGACAAGGAGAAGCUUGUGCAAAGUCCACUCGAGCUAACUUUCGGAGAAACCCGACCCCACUGCAACAUGACACCAGAGGGUCAAACUCAACGGGCAAUGGAUGAAUUCAGAAUCAUUGCAGAGCAUAUUGGUACCAGGGAUCUGGUUCAAGAAUUCUUAGCAUUCAGAGUCUUCCCUACUCUGAAAAAAUGGGAAAUGCCAAAGUUAAAGGGGGAGAAGAAGGAAGGGGAUCUUGUCCGGCUUCCUUACCACUUCAAAUUCAAGAAAUAUUUUAAGAAGCCCUGCCAAGAGUGGCUGGAUACAGUUGAGGUGAUGUGUAAUGAAAUUCUUGGAAAUUGUUCGAAAAAAGAAGAUCAACUGAUGACAGCAGCCUUCGGCACCCGUCCGAAGCGAAGGCUGAACCGAGUGCUUGAUGCACUGGGUUUCGAAUAUCCUGAUUAUGCGCAGCUGAACAAAGGUGCUGAGGGCCAGAGAAGAAAAAGAGCGGCCGAAGCUUUAAACAAGGAUGAAGAACAACCACCAAAAAAGAAGAAAAUUGUCAAGAGAAAAAUAUCAACUCCAAAGCGAAAACUAUCCGAAGAAGAGGGGACCCCCACACCACCUUCUACUAGCGACGUGGAGGAAAUUCUAAAGGUAAUGACUGAACCCAUGCCCACGAAGCUAAGUCCAUUAGGGCCUCGACUGACGAAGCUUUUUCAAAAGGUGGCGGAGCCGGAAAAAACGAAGAUAGCCAAAGCGAAAAGGCAAAGAAUUAUUGCCGUAACAGAAGUUAUUGACAAGCCGCCACCGAGGGCGUCAAUUCAGAAAACACCAGCCGUUGAGGGCACAGAAAAUGUCGAAGUCGCACCUUCGGAGGUCGCGGCUACCGAAGCCGCUACAGCCGAAGAUGUAAACUUAGAAUCUGCUAUUGAAAACAUCAACAAAAUUUUAACAGACAUGGCUGCAGAAGAAGCUGCCACCACUACUGAAGAAACCAUGGUCACAGUGCCUGGGAAAGGGAAAGAAAUAGCCGAAGACACUUCGGACGACGAAGCCUACUCAUUUCAAAAUUUAGUCGGGCAAAAACUGUCGAAAGCCGAAAAAGAAGAGCUUAAGGAAUACGCCAAAUCUUGCGGAUACAAGCCAGGAGCUCUUCUAUUUGGAGGCAUUGAUGAUGAAAAACUGGGCUGCAUCCGGGACUCAGCUGGGGCUAAGGUCAUCGGUACUCUAUCAAAGAGUAUCGGUUUUCCGAAACUAGAGACAGACAUCAGCCGCUACCGACGACAACAUAUCGUCGGCAGCUUAUUUUAUUCAAAUUUCAAGGUAAACAUCCUUCUCUCUAACUUCUAUUGUUUUUUAAUAAUGGCAAUAUUCUUUAACGAAGGUUGUUUAUUUGCAGAGCAUGCUUCUAAGCAAAGCUCUGAGGAUGCAGCAAGAUCUAGAAGAUAAGAAGCACGAGGCUAUAAUUGAAAAUUUAGAGAGCAAGAUAAAAGAACAAUCAGCUAUUAUUGAAAAGAAAGACUUCGAACUUCAAUCAACCGAAGGCUUGCUGGCAGAGACUGAAGCCAAAGUAGCAGAAUUGAAUUCGAAGCUUCUCUGCCAAUCAAAACAAUUUGAACAAGAGAAGCUAGAACUUGGUUCGAAACUUGAAGCCGAAGUCCAAGCCAACUCAAAUUUGAAGAAAUCAUUAACAAGCCUUCAGGAUAAAUGUUUGAAUUUUAGCAACAAUUGUAUCCAACAACUAAAGAAGAUCUUUUACUCAGUUGGAGCCAGCAGCGGGAAAUUUACCCCUUCGGAUGAAGAUUUACCAAAAGCCUUCGAUCAUAUCGAAGCUGAAAUUGAAGAACUUGACGAAGUUAUAGCUGGGCACGGUGACUUCUGUGCCUGGGUAGCUUCUCGGGGUACUGCUGCAGCAUUCCUGAAGGCUGGCUGCGAGCAUGGAAAGAUUGUCAACAGGCCCAACUUCGCCCUGUCUCCAUCAAUUCUCGACGACAUUCCUGACCUCGCCCGGAGCAUCUCAAAUAGAUUCAUAAAAAUGAUAUGGACAAAAGGCGGGCGAGAGAAGGCUGGGGACGAAGCUCGAAGUCAUCUUGAACCAGUAAGAAAUCAUACUUUGUACUUACCUUCUCCUUCACACUUGAUUUUUACUUGGGAUACCUUGAUUCAUGUAGGAUGACGAAGCUGAAGGUGAUACUUAAAGUAUAUGCCGCCGAAGCAGAAACCUGACGAAGAUUAAUAGGAGUAGACUAGAAAAAACUCAGGAGAAUUUGUAACAACUUUUUGUAAAUACAAUUAAUCUAUUCUCAAGGAACUUUGUUCAUACCUUGUAAUAUAUUCUUACCCUUUUAUUGAGACGCUUUGAUGUGGACGAAAUCAGUAUUUUGAGCCGAAGGCGAAAAAACACCUUCCCUUCUUUUCGUACACAACGAAGCAUAAAAGACCAUUUCUUCUUUUUGCCAAAGCUUUUCUUUUUUGUACAUGACGAAACAUAAAAGACCGCUUCUUCCUCUUGCCGAAGCUUUUUCUUUUUUGUACAUGACGAAACAUAAAAGACCACUUCUUCCUUUUGCCGAAGCAACCACUUAGGAACACAAAUGCUAUGAAUGAAUGCUUAUGAAUGCAAAUGCUAUGAUGUAAUGUGCGAAUGAAUGUCCAAAGCAUAUAACCGAAGCCACACUCAACCAUUAUUUCCUUGGAAUCAACCACACAUCAGCUCUGCAUUCCCUUAGGAACGACUUUGGAGCUUCCUCGUCUUUUACUUAGACGAUAUAAACUCUGCAUUCCCUUAGGAACGUCUUUGGAGUUUCUUCGCCUUUUACUUAGGCGGUAUAAGCUCUGCAUUCCCUUAGGAACGUCUUUGGAGCUUCUUCGUCUUUUACUUAGACGGUAUAAACUCUGCAUUCCCUUAGGAACGUCUUUGGAGUUUCUUCGCCUUUUACUUAGGCGGUAUAAGCUCUGCAUUCCCUUAGGAACGUCUUUGGAGCUUCUUCUCUUUUUUCUUUUUCAGUUUCUGCACUCGAUGGUGCGUUCUCAGCUGUUACAUUUACAUUUUUUGGGGGAUUUUGCUCUUAUAAGACUAAAAAAGGAAAUUACACAUGAUGGCCCCAUUAAAAACCUUUCUCCCCCUUCGGAAAGGAAAAGGGUGCCAUGAAGAAGAAAAGAAAAAACAUAAAAAAUUACAUCAUGUUAUACAUAGUAUCGCCGAAGCUCAUCCGCAUUCCAAGACCUUGGAAUUUCGUUGCCAUCCAUGUCCUUCAAUCUGUACGAUCCAGGCCUUGACGAAGAUACUACUAAGAAUGGUCCUUCCCAUUUCAACUGUAGCUUACCCACUGUAACUGGGUUAGCCACUCUCCGAAGCACCAAGUGUCCCGGCUCAAUAUUUUUUAGCCGGACUUUUCUAUCUCGCCAUUUAACUGUUUCAGCCUGAUAUUUAUUGAUAUUCUCCACGGCCUGAAGCCUGAUCCCUUCUAAAGCAUCCUUUUCCACAAGGCAAGCAUCUUCGGGACCUGAUUCUGCCGAAGCUACUACUCUUAUUGAUCCAGCUUUUGCUUCCUCCGGAGUUAUUGCUUCGUCACCGAAUAAUAAUUUGAAUGGGGUAAAGCCUGUGGACCUUGAUGUUGUUGUAUUGUGGCUCCACACCACUUUGAUUAACUGAUCUGGCCACUUUCCCCUGGGUUGAUUGAAGAUUAACUUCAUUAUUCCUGUCAUUAUAAUGCCGUUGGCCCUUUCAACGAGCCCAUUUGACUCCGGAUGCCUGACUGAUGCAAAAUGGAUCUUCGUUCCAAUUUGAUCACAGAAAUUUCUGAAAGCUUCGGAGUCAAACUGCGUUCCAUUAUCUACAGUGAUUGCCUUCGGUACCCCGAAGCGACAGACAAUAUUCUGCCAGAAAAACUUUUGGACAGUGGCCGAAGUUAUUGUGGCCAAUGGCUUCGCCUCAAUCCACUUGGAAAAAUACUCCACAGCCACUAUAACAUAUUUUAGAUUCCCUUGAGCCGGUGGUAAUGGACCCAACAAGUCAAGGCCCCACCUUUGCAAUGGCCAGAUGGGUUGUAUCAGCUGUGUCAAAGACGAAGGUUGUUUUUGAUCUCUUGCACAUUUCUGACAACCUUCGCACUUUUGCACUAACUCCGCCGCAUCCGAAGCUGCCUUCGGCCAAUAAAACCCUUGGCGGAAGACUUUCCCAAGUAAUGGCCUGGAUCCGAUGUGGGAUCCACACAGGCCUGCAUGUAUCUCUUUCAUCAACUCUAUACCUUCGGCUCUAGAUAAGCACUUGAGCAGCGGAGCGCAAACUCCAUGUUUGUAUAAUUCCCCUUCUAUCAUGACAUACGGACGAGCUCUUGCCUCUAUUCUUUUAUUGUAAGCUUCGUCAUCUGAAAGGAACUUACCCUGAAGGUAAGAGAUUAUUUCAGUUCUCCAAUCUUCGCUGUAAACAGGAGAUAUGUUGAGGACUGCUCUUUCAAGGAGCUCCACUGAAGGUGCCUUUAUUGUUUCGAAGAACACAUCCGAAGGUAACGGCAGCCCCUGUGCCGCAGACUUAGCUAGCAAAUCAGCAUGCUCAUUUUGUCCUCGAGGAAUAUUCUUGACAGAGAAUCCUUCGAAGGAUGCUUCGAUCCUUCGGACCGUAUCUAGAUAUUUUUCAAGCUUCGGAUCUUUAGCCUUGCAACUUUUGUCAACAUGACCCGAAACCACCUGGGAAUCAGUUUUAAGAAUUGCCCUUCUGAUUCCCAUUGCCUUUAAUUUCCGAAGGCCAAAAAGCAGGGCUUCGUACUCAGCAAUAUUGUUCGUGCAGCUGAAAUCAAGUCUUGCUGCAUAACAAGUUUUGACCUUGGAUGGUGAAACCAAUACAGCAGCUGCACCUGCUCCGAAGAUUCCCCAAGAGCCAUCACAAAACACUGUCCACACUUCGGCAUCUUUAUUUGCUUCUUCAUCCUGAGCCCCUGGCGUCCAGUCGGCAAUGAAAUCUGCCAAUGCUUGAGACUGGAUCGAAGAUCUAUGCACAUAAUCAAUGUAAAAUUCGUUGAGCUCUGCAGCCCAUUUCCCAAUCCGUCCAGUAGCUUCUCUAUUUCUCAUUAUAUCCUUCAACGGCUGCGAAGAAGGAACAAUGAUAUUGUAUGCCUGAAAAUAAUGCCGAAGCUUCCUGGAUGCCAUUAAAACGGCAUAUAAUACCUUCUCCAGCUCUGUAUAAUUUUUCUUUGAGACACUAAGGACUUCAGAUACAAAAUACACUGGAACUUGCUUCUUAAGCUGGCCAUAAAGCUUCUCCUGGACAAGCGCCGCACUUACUGCUGAGUGCGAAGCUGCCACAUAUAACAACAGAGGAGCCCCUGGCGUUGGCGGAGUUAAUGUUGUGAGAUCUAUCAAGUAUUGCUUCAACUCUUCGAAGGCUUUUUGUUGACUUGGGCCCCAUUGAAAGACUUCGGCUGACUUCAGCACCUCGAAAAAUGGUAAGUUUCUUUCUGCUGAUCUGGAUAUAAAUCUGUUGAGAGAUGCCAGCCUUCCUGUCAAUCUUUGGGCCCCUUUUCUUGUAGUUGGUGGCUCCAUUCGAAGUAUAGCUUCGAUUUUAUUUGGAUUAGCUUCGAUUCCCUUUGUUGAAACCAAGCAUCCAAGAAAUUUACCCUUCUUUACUCCGAAGACACAUUUCUCUGGAUUCAGCUUCAAACCAGCUUGUCUGAAGCUGGCGAAGGUCUCCUGCAGAUCAACAAUAUGAUUUUCCUGCUUCGUGCUUUUGACGAUAAUGUCAUCAACAUAGGUCAACACAUUUCUGCCUAUUUGAGACUGAAGAACCUUCGCAGUCAUUCUGCUGAAACUUCCUCCAGCGUUUUUGAGCCCCUCAGGCAUCCGAAGAUAGCAAUACGUGCCACUUGGAGUUAUGAAGCUAGUUUUCGGCUCAUCUUCCUUUUUCAUCCAGAUUUGAUGAUAUCCUGAGUAACAGUCCAAGAGACUCAUGAGCUCUGAAGAAGCUGCUGCAUCGACUAGAGAGUCUAUCCUUGGCAACGGGAAUUCGUCCUUCGGACAAGCCUUGUUGAGAUCUGUGAAAUCGAUACACAUUCUCCACUUGCCAUUGGCCUUCUUCACCAUAACAGUGUUAGCUAGCCACUCUGGAUACUUCACUUCUCUGAUAACUCCUGCACUGAGGAGUCUUUUUACUUCAUUGCGAGCCCCUUCGGCCUUGUCAUCAGACAUUUUCCGAAGCCUCUGCUUUCAGGGUCUGAAGGAUGGGUCAACAUUGAGCGAAUGUUCAAUAACAUCCCGAUUUACUCCACAGAGAUCAUUAGCCGACCAUGCAAAAACAUCUUUGUUGUUGAAUAAAAACCUUAUCAAGGUUUUCUCCUGGUCUUCAGAUAAUUGCGAGCCCAACAGCACCUUCUGCUCUGCUAUGUCCUCACACAAUAGCAUGGGCUUCGGCUGAUCUGCUGAAGCUGCCUUCUCCCUUCUGAAUUUGUACUGUUCACAAGCUUCAGUUCCAUCUAUAUUAUGGAUUGCCUUGGAGUCGGUCCAGCUUCCUUCGGCCCUUCUAGCAGCUUCCUGGCUUCCAUGGAUAGCAAUAGGCCCUUGGUCCGAAGGUAUCUUCAUGCAAAGAUAGGCAGGAUGAAGGAUUGCUUCGAAGGCAUUAAGAGUGCCACGACCAAUAAUUGCAUUGUAAGGAUAUUCCAUGUCAACAAUGUCAAACACAACUUGCUCAGUUCUAGUGUUGUUGAUGAAUCCGAAGGUUACUGACAUGGUGAUCUUGCCCAGUGCUACAAUCUGUCUUCCUCCGAAGCCACAAAGAGGAUGUGUAGCAUCAUGAAUCUUAUCUUCUGGCUCUUGCAUCUGUCUGAAGGCUUUAGCAAAUAUGAUGUCAGCUGCACUGCCUGUAUCGACCAAGACAUUGUGAACCAGAAAUCCUUUGAUAACACAAGAGAUAACCAUGGCAUCGUUGUGUGGGUAAUCUUUUAGCUGAAGGUCCUCUUGAGAGAAGGUAAUAGGAAUGUGAGACCAUCUUGAUUUGAUGAAGGGACCUUGCACCCCAACAUGCUGUACUCUUCUCUGCGCUUCCUUCUUCUGCUUCUUGUUAGCUGGCUCUGAGGACGAGCCACCUGUGAUCGGGAGCACCAGCUUCGGGUCCGAAGCAACUCCAGCUUGAUUGUUGAACGAAGCCAUCAGCUCAGAAAAGUGGAAGUGAGUUCACCGGAGGUGGGCGCCAAUGUUGGGGACUUGUUCUCAAAUGCUAAGAGUUAAGAACAGGGCAACAUAAAAAGUGUUAAGUGUUAAAGUCCUUCGUCCUUCGAAGCAUUAUGUCCCUUCGGGAAAUAAUGAGUUUCGGACGAAGGUCAUAAGAGGCAUACCUUCGUAAACAUAACAAGUAAUGACGAAGGACUCAUAUAAAGCAUGAAAUAUAAUAUAAGCAUCAUCAUAGAAUCAUUUCUAUUUUAUUAACAUGGAAACAUAGAAAUGAUUUCAAAUUACAAAAUGUACCUUCGGUCCUGAGAGAAGGUAAAAAGUACAAGCGUGACGCAAAAGCAAAUGCCAAGUCAGCGUGAACAGUACGGGGGUACUGUUCAUCUAUUUAUAGACACAGGACGCAGCCUGUAACGAAUUACAAUUAUGCCCUUUACAAAAGUUUACAACAUUAUGCUAGACCUCUAUGGAUAAAAAGGUCAUUCUAUCUUUAUGUCGGUUUGCAACGCCGAAGCUCUAUGAAAAGGAACCUUCGGCCAUUUCCUGGGGACGAUUUCAGCCGAAGCUGCUUCUUCACGCAAGACCUUCGGCGCAACGAAGCAUGGGCCCAACACCAUAUAUAUCAUCUCAUGCCUCUGUGGCCUUACUAGAACCACUAGCUGACUGUGGUUGAGGAGUCAAGCAAAUACCUCCAAAUUUGGCCUCAUAAAUUUGGUACAUCUUAGUUAAUUUGGUUCUAAUACAUGAAGGAUAUCUACUAUAAUCAGUGCCAUUAAGAGUAGAUAAUCUUUUAAGAACUUUAUGAAAGCCCCUCAUCUUUGCUCUAGGAUCAAGAAUGAAAGCAAAUGCAUAAAGAAUGGGUAUGUCCCUCCAAUAUUUCAGAAAUUUUGUUUUCAUAGGCACUACAGCAGUUCUUAAAAGCUCAUGGUUCUCAUAUGCAUUUAGAUGUCUAGCAAUUUUCAAAAUAUGAUGCAACAUUAAGGGUGAUGUAGGGUAAUAUAUUCCAGAUAGUGCAACAGUUGAGUCAUAGAAUAACUGAAAGAAAGACAAUAAUUUUUCUGCAACAACCAAUGAUUAUCACUCAACAAACAAGACCCAUCAUCUUUGGCAGGAGAAUUAGUUCUAAUCCACACAGAGAAAGUACUUUGAUAAGGAACUAAAUGUUUAAGCAUCAGGAAUGUUGAAUUCCAUCUAACUUCCAUAUCUACUCCAAAUUUACGUGGUCUAACACCAACACUCAUGCAAUAUUGUUUAUAAGAAGCAAUUCUUUGAUUUGAAGAGUUUAAAAAAGUUAUAGCAGUCCUAAAGUGUUCAAGAUAUGGUUGUAAACGUUUCAAACAACUUUUAACAAUCAGAUUAAUAAUAUGGCAAGCACAACGCUAAUGCAAAAAUAUUUUACUCAAAUCACUCUCAUUCCUAGUAGGUGAAGGUACCAAAUGCCCAAUAUAACCAGCAAAGACAGGUUUCAGAACAUCAAUAGCAGUUUUGUUAGAUGAGGCAUUAUCAAGCAUAAUGGCAAAAAUCUGAUCAGUAAUGCUAAAGUCAUUUGCAACCAUUUCAACACGUUCAGCAAUGUUAAGACCUGUAUGAGCUACCUCUAUAGGUCUAAGACCAAGUAAUCUCUUUUCUAAACACCAAUCAGAGUUCACAAAAUGAGCAACAACACUUAUAUAGUCCUCUUUAGCUUUACCAGACCAUAUAUCAGAUGUCAAAGCAACAGAUGAAACAUGUUUAAGUACUUCAAUCAGUUGUUCAACACGCUCAUUAAACAGUCGGAUCAAGUCUCUAGCAGUAGUUUGCCUAGAAGAUUUAAUAAACCUUGGAUUGUGGGCAUGGGUUAUAUACUCCUGAAAAGCACUAGAUUCACCAAAACAAAGUGGCAGGUCUAGCCUAGCUAUUAAACGACAGAGCUCAGUUCUAGCAACAGAAGGGGAAUACUCCCAGUGAUUAACAGAUCCAUCAGCAUUAUAUUUAAGCAAAGACUGUGUUUUUCCAGUUCUGUCUUUUUCUUUCUUAGCAGGGCAAACAUCCAGGUGUCGGAUCAAAUGGCCAGUUCCAGAUGAAGAUUUAGCAGACAUGCUAUUCUUGCAGUGAAGACAAAUGGCAGAUACUCUUACCUCCUUACCAUUUUGAACGGCAGUUACCUCCUCAAAGUGCAGCCAUACCUUAGAGGUCGGACCUCUCCUUCUAGAACGUUUACCAGCCACAGGGACAGAGGUGCUCGCGUCGGCCGUCGGGCUUGUGGAGCCCGUCCCCGUUUGUGCACCGGCGCCGUCCAGAUCGAUGGCACCAGCGUAGGUGGUACCAAGGAGGAGGUACCGGGCAUCGUCGGCCUCGUUCUGCGCUUCAAGCCUCCGCUCCUCGAUCACUGCUUCGAGACUGAGCUCGUCAUCAGCCGAGGCCGUGGACAUGGCCACCGCCUCGGUCGGCUUCUCCGGCUCCUCAUGGCGCGCGGCGCACACACACGGUGCACACCUAGACGAAUCGAAGCAACAAGAUUAAGCACAAGAAGAUGAAUCGGAUUAAGAGAGAGACGAGACCAAGAGCAAGAAAACUUUACCUGCAACACCGGAGCACCGGAUCCACGAACCGGAUGGCUGACGGCAGAGGCAGAGGAGCGAGCUUGGCGAAGAUCGAGUUCUAGGGUUAGGGUUAGUGAGGGUCGAGGGAGAGAGGAGCGAGGAUGGAGCAAGAGAGGAGAGGAGCAGCGAGCAGGAGGCGAGGACACCAGAGUUCACCGCUCCGUCGACACCGUAGGGCGGAGGCGAGGACACCGGAGCGGCGGAGCCGAAUCGCCUGUCGCCGGUCACGAGCCCACAGGAGAGGAGACGGAGAGGCCGAGACAGAAAAUGGGAUGCUAGGGUUACGCACGCGUACUCCUUACGCGACGCCGCGACGCCUUAUACGGCUUAACGGGCCGGCGCCGUGCCGCGGCUUACGUGGGCCGGGCUCGUGCCUACACCACGGGCCCACAUGGCAGCCCAAUCACGGCACGGGCACCGUGCCGGGCUGGCACGGGCACGCCGGCCGUCGUGCCGGGCCGGGCUUUCCCCGUGCUUGGGCGUGCCGGGUGCCGGGCUGCACCACGGGCCAGCCCGUUUUGGACAUGUAUACCCUCUAGUGAUGGGCAGGGGCGGCGGUUUAUAUUCCCCGCGAGGACCCCCCAUCGGCCGAAGAAAACAGAGUCUGUUGUGGAGUUUGUUGCGGAGUUAGUUGGUCAUGAGCUCGAAUGUCAACGGAGUUCUCCGUCGCGCGAGGUCCGCGGAUUCUGUUGCUAGCCGCGAGUCCGAGUCGCACCCAGGAGGUCGGAGACGCCCGCGGCCCGGAGUUCACCCAGCUUUCCAGGGAACCAUUGAGACCAGAACGACGAGAUUUGGUGGCGCGCGACGGCGAACGCGGAGGUGUUGUUACGUUGAAGGAGAACCUGACGGUGCAGGUCCACGAGUCAGUGAGGAAUUUGGCUUAGGCGCGCGCAGUGCUCGCUGACAAGGCGGUCCCGCAGUCGGCCACACACGUGAAGUGGGCGCGAGGGAGUAGUCCGCGCCCAGGAGAAGGGUUCAGGAUCGCGUUUGGUGGUGGGCCGCGCGAGAGCAAGGGAGAUGGGCCGCAUGGGGCAAUUUCGGCCCAGAUGAGGUAGAAUUGAUUUGUUUUUUGUUCAUUUCCAUUUCCCAUUUCUAGUUUUCAAACUUGAAUUCAAUUAUGUGUUUUAAAUGCUCAUCCAAAAUUCUAGCAUGAUGCAAUUAUUUUGAAUUCAAAUUCGAAUCUAGGUUCAGGAUUCACAUUCAUAUGCAUAAUUAUAACAACACUUCCACAUGCAAAAUAUAAUUUUAUGUUAUUUAUUUCUCAUCUCAUUUAUUUAUGCUUAUGCUUUUAAAUGUGCACACAAAAUAUGUAUUUUAAGAAAUUUAGUUCUAGUUUUAAAAAGAUCCUUAAGAGUAAAGUCUAGAAGAUAUGAUUUAUCAAAGGAACAAAUUAUUACUGAGCUCCUUUCUUUCUUUUUUUUUCUGGAAACAUUGUUUUAGGAUGUAUAGUUUCAAAGGUAAGAUAAUUCUUAUGAAAAAUAUAUUUUAACUCAACUUCAGGGGAAAUUUUUACAUAAUUCUCAAAAUGAGAUUUUGAGGUGUUACAAGGCACUAGCGUUGGUGUCACAUUGAUGAUGAGAAGAAGCUUGGCGACUGCUAGUUCGACCUCUAGAAGUAGUCCUACGUGGCCGCAUGCGCCGCUGUGUAUGACAAGCUCCAGCGAAGCCGCCACUUAGACACGGUCUAGAGCAGCUGCACCGCGCUGUCCAUCGUUAAGCAGGGAGACCUCAUGGUUGUCGCCAACGUAGACGACUCUCGGGUUGUUCUGGACACCGCAUCCGACGACAACGCCAUCACGCCGUACAUGUCAUCGUCCACCUGAAGCCCAACCUGCCACAUAAGUCACUAUUGGCUGAACAUAAAUUCUUGUGUGCUGGGACGAUGGACGUUGCUGACGUUGUGUGAGUGUCCUCGAACAUGAUGUAUGUAGUGGAGUAGCGCAUCAGGUGGUGCAACAGCCAGGGGUACUACCUCGCUGAUGAGCCUGGGGUGCACUUCGUUUGGCAGCCCAACCAAGAGUCAUCGGUACUCGUCAUGUCGCGCGCGUUCGACGACUACUAUAUCGAGGAUUGUGGUGUCAUCUUGGCGCCGGAGGUGACGCAGAGGAGGAUCGACAACAGUGACCAGUUCGUCACCCUCGCCACCACAGGGUAGCUUUUAUGCCGGCUUGCUUUAAUUCUCUUCACAAAUACACACACUUGCCUUUUUGUUUAAGCAAGAGCGUAUGAUGGUGUGUGUCUGAUGACUAACGAUGUACGAGGGAAGUUCUUCCAGCAUGUGUGGAACAUGCUCUCCAAUGAUGAGACCAUACAAAUCGUGGCAUGUAUCAAAGUCUGCAUGAUACUGAUGGUUGCAAUGUAGUGGCGAAACAACUAGAUUAAAAUAACAAAAUUUAUGUAUGGCUAGGAUCACAAAUUGAUUAUGAAACCUUUUCUCAUAACAAUAUAACACACAUUUUGUAUAUAAGUUAUCGUAGUAUACUGGUAUUAUAUAUUCCCGUUGCAAUGCACGGGCACUCAGCUAGUUUACAUAAAAGUGUUUUGGGAAUUAUUUGAAUUCCUUUUCCUUGUGCAUACUCACUUAAGGGAGUUAAAGUAGUCAAAUAGCAAAUAAAUAAAUAAAUAUAUGGUGUUACCUUCAUAUUAGGAUUUUUAUUGGAUAUAUUUGGAAAGCUGAAGUUCAAACAAGAUUUAAAUUUGAAAUAAAGUUUCAAAUUUGGAAAAUAAAGGAUAAAAGGAAAAAAGAAAAGAAAGAAAAGAAACUCAAGCAUGCGCUUUGGGCCCAAUCUGCCACGGUCGACCCAAGCAACCAUCUCGUAGCUCCUCAUCCGGUGCAUAGCCACUGCGCCGCGGGGCCCACCUGGCGGCCUCACCUUCCGCGCUGCUCACACCACUGACUUCAUGGGACCACCAGUCAGCACGGACUGAUACUGUGCACGCUUGUGAACCAGCUCCUCCUCCAUUGACUAUGGGGUCAAUGUACAUCCAACACCGGGCGUAGGCUUAUGCCUCUGUGUGGUGGGGCCAUGUAACACCCCAGGUGUUACCAAGGCCCUGACUCCCUACUUGCACCUAUGACCUGUUAUCUCAUGUGGUUAAGUGGAAGAGAGGGAGCACCAAAACCUUGGGAACCAUGUAUUAACCAAGAAUGUUAAUGACCAAAAGCAUUACCCAAGCAUUUAUGCAAUUAUCACCUUGGGCAAGAGAAGAUUAAACCCUAGACCCUUCUUGAGCCCUUAACUCCCAAAACCCUGGUUUAAGGGGGGAAAGGUUAAGCAAAUGUGCAAUCAUGAGUUAACCCUUAGCCAAAGUUUAGGUAACAUUAUAAUUUACAAAAAUGCAGAGAGGAAACAUUACAAAAAGACCCCUUAAAAACCCUAAAUUCAUUCUUUAAGUGGAGAGAGCACUAGAGCUCUCUAGUUCUUUCUAAGUCAAAUUUUAAACCUAAUUUAAAGAUCCACCGUGUUCACUUGGUAGAUGGCACCAAAACCACUUGAGUUGUAUACCAAAAAUGUCUCAUACCACCUAAGGCACCCACUGGAAAAGUUUGAAACCGAGCCCAAGACGUUUGAUAAGAUUUGGCAUGGCUUUUGUCGCGAGGUGGGCAGAGGGACAAGCCAGAUUUGGCGUCCACAAAUCUCCCUACCUAGGGCAUAUCUGCCAUGGGGACUCACAUAUAAGAGACAGCCCUAGGUGCUAGGAGGAGGCCUGCGCCGGAUUUUUGCCAAGAUUCGCACGCUUGCGAUCUCGGCGAGCUGUUGAACAAGGGCAGAAGAACACUUCCACGUGUUCGACGCGCUCUGAGCGCGCCAGUGCACGCCCAGCGCCCGACCCCGCGCGCCCCGCGCCGCGCCCGUGUCUCGUGCUCGCACCCGCGCCUAUAAAACCCCUUAGACGUCGACCGUACUCCUCCGCGUGCUCUCCACCUCACCGGAUCCAGAGAUCACCGGCGUUUGCCCUGCAAACGGCGUGCCCGCGGCCACCCGAUCCCCUACCACCGUAGACAGGCCUGCAGAGCCCUUCCCAGCCACGCCCGACCCUCGGAAGAGACCGUGCAUGCCUCGGUGAAGCUCCCCGAGCAAGGAAUCGGACUUUGCCUCGCCGGAGAAGCCAGUCCACGGUCGCCGGACUUCACCCGACCGCCGGUGAACGUAGACCGGGUAAGUCUCUGCACCAUUUUUCGAUUCCUUGCGCACAUAGCCUCUACGUCAUCCCGUGGAGCUCAUCGUGCCGUUUAAUUGAACUAGAUCGUCAUGGUUAAGCCGGAGCACCCGCCGCCGACAAGUUCACCCACCUGCGCACGUGGACCGGCUGAUUCCGGCCACCACCGCCAUCGAGCCGUACCUUGCUGUGACCGCCAGGACCUCCCGAAGCCAACCCCGCCCCUCGCCGGACCUCUCUCGCCGCCGGUAAGCCGCGCCGCCCUUUUCCUUUCUGCUGUUACUGUUUACAUAAGGGGAGGGACCUCGGGGGAGAAGAAGAUAAGGCUGGGGGGUUUUGUGCGCUGUCAGUGACUCAAGGGAACAGUGGCGCAGGGGUAGAAAUGAGUGGAUUGAUUUAGGAAGAACCCAGGGUCUUCGAUGCAAAGUAGUUUUCUAGGAAACCUUUUAAAAUAUUCUGAUUUAAAUCCAAACAGAACUUGAAAAAUUCAUAACUUCAGUUUGGUUUACCCAAAUCGAAUCAAACAAAUUUUGCCAGAUCCUUAAUAAUUUAAACUACUUAGGAAAAAUAUAAAACCCCUAAGUGUUACAGAAAACUUUAAAGUUUUGAUUUAAAUGAUUAACUAGUCAAAAUGCUAAAAGAAAAAAGGAAAAAUAGCUACACUAUUUGACUGGGGGUAAGAAAAUUUAGAGAAGUACUUAAUCACUUCCUAACCUAUUUAAAAAUAAUAAACCCCUCUGUACACCCCUUUAAGGUAGAGCUUGCCAAUUAAAUCACUUUUUGCUUAAAGUAGCAGAAAAUAUAAAAGGUGGUUUAAAUAAAGAACCAGGGAGCACCCACAUUUUUGUUAGUUUACUUAUUCAGUGUAGUUCACUAGAAAAAUUUAUUAUACCCUUGUUUAGUGCAAAAGAAAGGAGAUACCUUUUAAAUUAGAAAAACAAGGAAACCUUAGAAAAACCCUAGAAAAAUAACCCUAAGGAGAAAACACCCCAAACCUUAGGAUAACUAGUGUUUUGUUAUUAUGAACAUAGGAAAAAUAUGAAAUCUGUUGUUUGAUAUUUUUCAAAUAACAAGUUAGUUAUAAGCACCUUUUUGGCAUAAAACUUUAGAAAUUCACAACUAAAUAUCCAGUAGGCCUUUUUAUGUGAUUUUUAACACAGAGGCCUAAUAUCAUCUAUGUAUCUAGACAAAAAUACAGUUUGGUACAGAAACCCCAAUUAAAUCACAGCUAUAGUGUAAAAUGCCCUUUUAAAACUUAUUUUUGUUAAUUUUUCACAAGUAGUAUCUGAAUCCGUAUCCACCUCAAAUUUAUAGGACAGCCUGCAGUGACAAAUAGUAACCCACUGUAAUUUUUAUAGAAUUUUUGAAAAAAAUUAAACCACUGUUGUAGUUUAAACCCCCACUAGAAUUCAUAAAUAGAAAAUGAAAAAGGGAAUUAAUAGUGGAGAUUAAUGUCACCCUAACCCAACCAGCAAAACCCCUUAAAUGCCUACUACAACAUCUAAGGGAAAUCCAAGUUUCAAUCCACUAUGCUUAUCCCUAGGCAAAACUCAAACCUAAAGUUGAUAAGCAUAAACCACUAAGAGCCACGUAUAACCAGGAAACCCUAAGUUACUAACUAACUUAGUUUUUAUUCACUUAUCAUAAUGAUUAUUAAAAUCCUGCAUAAUCAUAGCAUACAUAUUCUUAUUCAUUGCAUUCGAUAGAUUGCAACCUCGCUGACGGAGAGUACGUCCUCGUGCCGGAGCAAGGAGUUGCUCAGGAGGUAGCCCCGGAUCCAGCACCAGAGCCUGCCCCAGAGGAUCUGCCUGCCCCAGCUUUGGAAGGCAAGCCCCGGUUUUAUGCAUAACCUGUUUUAUAUGCUAUUUUACUACACUUAAUGUUUGUAGGCUUGUAUUGUGCACUUAAGUGUAGGAGUUGGUUGAAACCCUAGUUGCAUGAACUCAGGAAUCCUUUUUGUAAUGAAUACUAGUAUGCUAGGUCGAGUAGCUGCCUUAUUAAUUAGGAUCUCGGUAGAAGUCGAGUGAUUUUUCUAGCACUCGCGCGAGGUCAGGAAUUGGUUGUACCCACUUUCAAAUCAUAAUGAUGCUGGUCUGUGGACAACAAUCCAUGGGGAUUGGUUGUCUACGAGAUGGAAAAUUGGAAUAAGGAUAAAAACUCGAUUCGAAUCGUCUGCUUCUUGCAGCUAAUGAGACUGCUUGAUCCAUUGUACUGCAUUGAGUAACAUGUGGAAAUGUGAUGAUGUGGCAAAAGAUGCUGAUUGCUAAAUUUGCUUGAUACCAUGAAUGAGUAUAUAGUACACAUCUAGUCUUAAGAGAGUCACACUAAAACUUGACAAAGCUAAAACUUGAUUUAUAAACUCAGCUAGUGCUUUUGGCAACCAAACCCCACAGCCAAACAGCUGCAUGUCUAGAGGUAGAGGAGUAGACUCCUCACACUGGGUAAGUCUAGCUGAGUAUUAGUAUACUCAGCCUUGCUUGUGGCAUAAUUUUACAGGUUCUCUGGAGGACAUGGUUGCUGGAGUGACUUGGCCGUCCAUCUUGCCACUGGGUUGGACUGUCGAGUGGGACCCUGCCUCAACUGAGGAGGAUCAUGAGGAGUGAUAGGACAGGCUUCCCCAUCUCUCCGUUUAUUUACCGUUAGUUUUAUUCCGCUGCACUUCGAACAAUGAUGACUACUUUUGCAAAAACUUCGAUGAUGAUGUAAUAAAUUCAAUACUCCUUAAUGUAUGGUUUUAUGCUUUAUUGUAUUUGCUCUGUGACUCACCAUCGAGUGAGACUGUGGUACUUGAUCCUGUCAGUGGCCUCGUCGGACUAGAUCCGAGGGAUUGACGGGUUAUUCCCAUUUAAGUGUGGUCUAGCCUCUAAGGCGGGACUUAGACACUUAAGCUGGAAUAAUUAGGGCAGUUCCGCCACAGGCCAGACACGCAGAAACCUCAUCUACCUCCCCUCAACAAACUUGUGUGUAUCUCGGGUUGUUACGACCGCGUGCGCUGGCCAUCCUCCAAAUCUAGGCUCUGCUCUACAUAUUUAACCGAAACCCCGCCUCUUCCAUCAAUCAUCAUGAGACGGCAGGGCACCUCACCGGGCGGAACGCCGAAUUACUCGAGAUAGCAGGGGAAAAGAAUUAAGUAACCCGACAACGACGAUCGCUGAUGCGACCUCGCCUAGGCUUUGGGCGUCGCUCGAGAUCUUCACUUGGGAAUCAUGAUUGCGAAGCUGGAAGUUGUCGAAGUGAGAAACCGAGAAGUGCUUGUCGGAGCUCGGGUGCAUCCUCGCUCCCGCACUCCGCCGUGGUCAGGCGUCGCCACAUCCCGGGCUGCCAUGGGUGUGUCUGUACUGAGUUCAUCUCCCUCUCCGCUGUGUAUUACCCUGCCAGAUCAGAUUAUUGCGUGGUCGGGGAAUAACUUUCUCACAUGAUUCAUUAAUCAACAUAGACAUAGUUUUCAUAUUCGAUCACAUAAAACUUAUGAAAAUCAUAAAUUUAUAAUCGUAUACUAACUCCGAUUUUAGUGGUUCUCGAACCUAGAUUUUCAUUGCGACGCGUAGAUCAUCAUUAUGCAGUUUGUUCAUAUGUUUGGUGUGAUGUUAAUUUUGCCUAUAUCAUGUUUGGUUGUAUUGCUUUGAAUAGCAGUGAGGUCACGAGAAUAUGAAGAUCAUCAUGGUACCUGGAAUCUCGAUUCCCAGGCAAGUUGUGCCCUUGAUCACUUUUGUUUACCAAUAAUGUUCUCUAUAAUCAUUUUGGCAUGCAUAGGCUUAAUUUUGAUGGGACCCAAUAGGUCACCCUAGUUUGGUUAUCUUUACACCUUGUUUACCCCAGAACUUUUGGGUAGUCUUUGCUAUUGCUAUAUAUGGUUUUGGGUGUUUCACAUGGUCAUUGUUUAUUAUUAUUGUUCUAUUUCUGUUCAUGAUAAGACCAUUAUGUUAAUUGGAACAUCGAGCUUAACUUGAGAAACACAUGCCACCACAAGGGUGAAAUGGGCGCCCUUGGCUGACUAAUUAGGAAAGCUAGUGGAGGACUACCUUACCCGAAAGGGGCAAGGGCAGUAGGGGAGUAGGCGUGUAGGGAGGUUCCCGGGUUGAUUUUGCUGCGAUGGCGGUGAGAGGGGGAUUUCUGCAUUGCUCUUCCUAGAACUGUAGCGGGUUUUCUGAAGCUAGUGGAACUUUGUAUGGGCCUCGUAGUGUUACCCUACCUCGCUUCCUUGGUAGAGGUGUAUGGGGCCCGUACAACCCCAUGGCAGAUGGGUAACAUGACUUGUGGGUAAAGGGUACCACCUCUGCAAAGUGUAAAACUAGUAUACUAGCCGUGCUCGCGGUCAUGAGCAGCUCAGGACUCUCACAUGAUUAAUUUAUGGAAUUAAAUUCAAUUUGUCAUUUGCAUUGCAUUGUGGAUUAUUAUGAAUUUUGAUCUAUUAUUACUCUGGUUUGAUAUCUACUUAUACUUAGUAACUACUAAUAAAAAUUUGACCAACUUUAAAAGCGAUGCUCAGCUUUAAGCAUCCUCUUUGGUAAGCCUUACACUUCACAUGAGCUCCCACCUUUGGCGAGUUCAUGCAUAUUAUUCCCCACAACUUGUUGAGAGAUGAAAGUAUGUGAGCUCACCCUUGUUGUCUCACACCCCCACAGGUCAAGAACAGGUACCACAGGAUGAGACGCAUGGAGGAUGCUGUGAUGAGUUUGUGAGAGGUCUAGGCCGUCGUCUCCCAGUCAACUUUGGGUUGCUGGAUCGUUGUCUUCAUAUGAUGUAUUAAUUUAUUUAUUUCAUACAGAACUCCUAUUAUAUAGUAAAGACGUGACAUUCGUUUUUGUACCAUAAGUCAUCAUAUGUGUAAGACUUGGUCCUAGCACACUUGGUGAUUAUGUUCACGCUCGGGUCUUGGUGCCCCCGAAACCCGGGUGUGACAGAAGUGGUAUCAGAGGGAUGUUGACUGUAGGACGAAACCUAGAUAGAACUGGACAACCCUUACCUACUUACCUUUGCUACUUUGAUUCUUUCUAAGCUUUUCUUAAUCUUUUCUCAUCUACUACUGCUUUACUCUGAUUAUUCUUACCUUUUCAUCUCUACAGACAAAAGUGGAUUUCACACUUUGAAAUCCUGUACCUAAAGAGACCUUUCGGAAUAGGAAACCAAAUCUUAGGUACAAAAACAAAACUAUUUUUAUAGAUAUUUAUGUGCUUCAAUGGUUGUUCUUAUGAUACUUGUCUGAUUUGGAUCUUUGAUUGAGUGUGAUGAGUUGUGGAGUAAUGUCCACAAUUGCAUCAGCAUAUACAUAUAGGCAUAAAAAUGCUUGUAAAAAAAUAACUAGACAAACUAGAUUAUCCCUCAUUAAAAUAUAUCUAGCUUAAUAGAUCCAUCUUGUCUUAAAAUAUACUCUCUUACCUUAAUAGAUUCAUCUUAUCUUGAAAAGAUUUUAUCUUAUCCUAAUAGAUCUAACUGACCUCAAAAGAUUCUACCUUAUCCUUAUGGAUUCAUCUUGCCCUAAUAAGCGUAUUUAUCCCACUCUAGAGUAACAACCAUGAUCUAGUCCAAAAAAUUAAUUAGAUCUUAACUACUCUAAUCUAGUCAUAACCAAUCUAAUUUAGAUACCAUCUAAUAUAACAUGAUCCAAUCUACUGAUGAAAUGGAUUAGACCCUAGUUCUAUACACAUGUCCUAACCUAAAUUAAUUUUCUGGACUAACUCGUCCGCGAACAACAACCUAACCUGCAUCACAGGUUGCCUAAUCCAUCUAUCUCAAAAGCAAAGUAAAACUCUGUUUAAAUCUACCUAUUCCAUGUACCCCAUCUAUCCUAACUAUAUGUCCUUAACUCGGAUGGCAACUCCAAGAUUGGAGAUCGAAGGUGAUCGACCACGUCAAGAUAAGGAAAGACAGAAGACAAAAAAAGUGGAUCUACAAAAGCUGGGAUCCAUCAUCCGGGAUAGAAGUUUUUCGUACCUAACCCUUCUAACCCCAACCUAUCCUCGCUUUAACCAAAUUUCACCUCACCUCGACAUAGAAGAUGCUUAUAUUCCAGUUGCUAUUAAAAUAAAUAAAAAAAGCUUUUGGUAUUUGGACCAUUUAGAAACUAAAAGCUAAACCACAAAUCAAACUAUCUAGAUCCCUCUCCUAUAAAAAAUAUGUAAACCCCGUUGGACCCAUCUUAUGAUUCCCGACCAUCUACUUGUCUAAACCGCCUAAACCCUAGUGGGGACACCAAAAUAGUAGGAGAUCAACCUCGGCAUGGAAGAAUAGGAGUCAAAUGAGAUCUCGAGAUGAUUCAAGAUUCACCAGCUUGGAUGGAGUCUUUCCUUGCCAUAAGCUUUCUAACUUCAACCUAUUCUUUCUCUAACCAUUUCUAAUCCUACUUGUUAGCUAAAACAUAAUAUGCCCAUGUUUUUCUAGCCAUACCUAGUAAUGCAAAGUAACUUUUGAGAGCAUUAAAAUUAACUGGAAAAUAAAAGUCAAGACUAAACACAAAACCUUAUUUACCCCUUUUCUUACUAAUCUCGAGGACGAGAUUAUUUUUAAGGGGGUAGGAUUUGUAAAGCCCUAAAGUUUGUAUAAUAAAAUAAAUAAAUACAUUUAUUUACAUAAAAGUGUUUUGGGGAUUAUUUGAAUUCCUUUUCCUUGUGCAUACUCACUUAAGGGAAUUAAAGUAGUCAAGUAGCAAAUAAAUAAAUAUGUGGUGUUACCUUCAUAUUAGGAUUUUUAUUGGAUAUAUUUGGAAAGCUAAAGUUCAAAUAGGAUUUAAAUUUGAAAUAAAGUUUCAAAUUUGGAAAAGAAAGGAUAAAAGGAAAAAUAAAAGAAAGAAAACAAAAAGAAACUCAAGCCUGCGCUUUGGGCCCUAUCUGCCUCGGCCGGCCCAAGCAACCAUCCUGCAGCUCCUCCUACGACGCAUAGCCACUGCACCGCGGGGCCCACUUGGCGGCCUCACCUUUCGCGCUGCUCAUACCACUGACUUCAUGGGACCCCCGGUCAGCACGGAUUGAUACCGUGCACACUCGUGAACCAGCUCCUCCAUUGAACGCGGGUCCCACGAACAGCCAACACCAGGCGUAGGCUUAUGCCUCUGUGUGGUGGGGCCAGACAUGCAGAAGCCUCAUCUACCUCCCCUCAACAAACUCGUGUGUAUCUCAGGUUGUUGCGACCGCGCGCGCUGGCCAUCCUCCGGAUCUGGGCUCCGCUCUGCGUAUUUAACCAAACCCCCGUCUCUUCCAUCGAUCAUCAUGGGAGGGCAGGGCACCUCGCCGGGCGGAACGCCGAGUUACCUGAGAUAGCAGGGGAAAAGAAUCGAGUAACCCGACAACAACGACAGCUGAUGCGACCUCGCCUAGGCUUUGGGCAUCGCUUGGGAUCUUCGCCGGGAAAUCACGAAUGCGGUGGUGGCGGUUGUCGUAGCGGGGAACUGAGAAGUGCUCGUCGGAGCUCGGGUGCAUCCUCGCUCCCGCACCCCUUCGUGGUCAGGCGUCGCCACAUCCCGGGCUACCAUGGUUGUGUCUGUACUGAGUUCAUCUCCCUCUCCGCUGUGUAUUGCCCUGCCGGAUCGAAUGAUAGAUGAGACUAUUGCGCGGUCGGGGAAGUACGGCGAUGGCGCCGCCGUGGGCGGAUUCCGGUCACCGUGGGGCACUCGCGCCACCGUACCUAGUCUGCCAAGGGUGGGUGAUGGUUGCCGGUGAUCGUUGACGAAGCGAGGAAUAGAUCAGAUUAGAUCGUGGGUAUUUAAAACCCUGACAGUAGAUCUAGGACCCAACGACGUAGAUUAGAUGAGGGAUACCUCUACGCUUAAUUGAACCCUGGCCAUCCGAUCGGCUAUGGGCAGCUGGGAUCUGGGUGGCGCAUACCUUCUCGCGUGGUUAGAUCCGGGUCGUCCAGUCCUGAUGUGGCGCGUGAGAUUAGACCACAAAACUUUAAAUCGCGACCGUCGGAUCAUGAUCGUACUGCCCUCGGUGCGUACCAGUUCGUUUUAAGUUACGCUUAAUCUGGGCCCUUGGUGCGCGAACUAGCGGUCGAUCCUCACCCGUACUCUCUUCGGCCAGGUAGUAAUGCAAAAGAACUCGUGGGUUUCGAGGGAUUAAACCCGCCGUCCACAGACAAUCUUAAAUAAUUACAUCGACACCCAGAAUUUUGCUUAGAGAACCCUAGACUCCUUGGUAUGUGUGCCUACAGUCCAGAAUUAUUGGGAAUAUUCAGAAUUAAAUCAGAAAAUGAUCAUUAGUAUAAAAAUAAUGCCAAUAACUUGUAAAAUUCAUAACUCCUUCGUUUUAACUCUGUUUUGGUCCAUUCUAGUUGCGUUAGCUUCGUAAUAAAAUUAUCUACACAUUACUAACCUUACUUACCAUGUAACAUGUUUUUUAAAUAAUUAAUUUACCCUAUGUCCAUUAGAUUUACUUCUCUAAUUAAAAUUGAAGUAAUGAUUUCAGUCCCUAGUUAUGAUUUGAAAAAAAUGUUGCCUCAUCAAGUUAUAACUUGGAUUAGAAUUAAAUUAGUAGUUUCUUAGGAAUAACUUUCUCACAUGAUUCAUUGAUCAACAUAGACAUAGUUUUCAUAUUCGAUCACAUAAAACUUAUGAAAAUCAUAACUUUAUAACCGUAACUCAGAUUUUAUUGGUCUCGAACCUAGAUUUUCAUUGCGACGCGUAGGUCAUUAUUAUGCAGUUUGUUCUUAUGUUUGGUGUGAUGUUAAUUUUGCCUAUACCAUGUUUGUUUGUAUUGCUACGAAUAGUAGUGAGGUCACGAGAAUAUGAAGAUCAUCCUGAUACCUGGAAUCUCGAGUUCCAGGCAAGUUGUGCCCUUUAUCACUUUUAUUUACCCAAUAAUGUUCUCUAUAAUCAUUUUGGCAUGCAUAGGCUUAAUUUUGAUGGACCUAAUAGGUCACCCUAGUUUGGUUAUAUUUACACCUUAUUUACCUUGGAACUUUUGGGUAGUCUUUGCUAUUGCUAUAUAUGGUUUUGGGUGUUGAGAUAACUAUUACACAUGGUCAUUAUUUAUUAUUAUUGUUCUAUUUAUGUUCAUGAUAAGACCAUUAUGUUAAUUGGAACAUCGAGAUAACUUGAGAAACACGUGCCACCACAAGGGUGGAAUGGGAUGCUCUUGGUUGACUAAUUAUGAAAGCUAGUGGAAGACUACCUUACCUGAAAGGGGCAAGGGCAGUAGGGGAGUAGGCGUGUAGGGAGGUUCCCGGGUUGAUUUUACUGCGAUGGCGGUCAGACGGGGGAUUCCUGCAUUGCUCUUCCUAGAAUUGUAGUGGGUUUUCUUAAGCUAGUGGAACUUUGUAAAGGCCUCGUAGUGUUACCCUGCCUCGCUUUCUUGGUAGAGGUCUAUGGGGCCCGUACAACCCCGUGGCAGAUGAGUAACAUGACUUGUGGUAAAGGGUACCACCUCUGCAGAGUGUAAAACUGGUAUACUAGCCGUGCUCGCGAUCAUGAGCAGCUCCGGACUCUCGUAUGAUUAAUUUAUGGAAUUAAAUUCAAUUUGUCAUUUGUAUUGCAUUGUGGAUUAUUUGAAUUUUGAUCUAUUAUUACUCUGGUUUGGUAUCUACUUUUACUUAGUAACUGCUAAUAAAAUUUUGACCAACUUUAAAAGCGAUGCUCAGCUUUAACCAUCAUCUUUGGUAAGCCUUACACUUCACAUGAGCUCUCACCUUUGGUGAGUUCAUGCACAUUAUUUCCCACAACUUGUUGAGCGAUGAACGUAUUGAGCUCACCCUUGCUGUCUCACACCCCCACACGUCAAGAAUAUGUACCGCAGGAUGAGGCGCAUGGAGGAUGCUGUGAUGAGUUCGUGAGAGGUCUAAGCCGUUGUCUCCCAGUCAACUUUGAGUUGCUGGAUCGUUGUCUUCAUAUGAUGUAUUUAUUUAUUUAUUUUGUACAGAGCUCCUAUUAUAUAGUAAAGAUGUGACAUUCGUUUCUGUACUAUGAGUCAUCAUAUGUGUAAGACUUGGUACUAGCACACUUGGUGAUUAUGUUCGCGCCCGGGUCUUGGUGCCCCCGAAAUCCGGGUGUGACACUUCUCGCGGUGACCGACCGCCAUCCAAGUUUGAGUCCGUGUCCGUUGACCUCCCGACUCUGGUGGUUCGCAUUGUGGUAGUAGAUCGAGGCUCCGACGAGGCGCCUCCACCAGAUCCGGAAGAAUCCAUGGGUUCACGGCCUUGGCCGGAGGCCCUAGGAGAACGUCGACCUCGUCGGCAUGCACGAGGUCAAUCGGCUAUGGUGGCUUGAUGCCUGAUCAACGACAAUCGACACAGCGCGUGUCGUCGGCAUAAAUCCCCUUCAACGACCGGGCACCUCGGCGGCAAACUUCAUCGACCACGUCGGUAUGUCCCAAAUCCUCGAUUGAUAUGCAAGGACCUGCGUUUUUGUUGUCUAGAUUGAUGAAGGGAUGCAUGCUUGGUUAAAUAUUGGUUGGUCCUUACUAUUACCCUAAUUUCUGGUAAUGAUAAAUUGGCCAGAUCUCGUGUGUUGAUGAUUCAAGAGUGUUUUGGGCCUACUGCUGUUAAGGUAAAAGGCAAAGUUUUCAUCAACUAGGGUCUAGGGCAACUGGAUACCUAAGAUUCCACUAGAUGGCACUCACGGUAGGCCAAGAUUCAUUGUUUUGGACCUGCUAUAUGUGUUCAUCGAUCUUGUUCUUCUCAGUUUGCAGAGAUUGAAUGGUUCAUUUGGUUUUAGAUGAUUUUGUUUGCAGAGUGAACUGUCUUAUCGAAUACUGAUUACUAAAAACAGCCCUGAUUGGUUACCAUCGUUGCUUGUCUCCAUUUCAUUAAUUUUGUUCUGUCAUGAUUGAUUAUAUAUAAUGUAGCUAUAGUUUUUGGGACAAGUGUGUACAAGGCCGAAACCUCAAUUCACCCACAUGUCUAUCUCAUCUAUGCAUUAUCUGUUCAUCUACGGUUCUACCAACUCUGGUAUUUUUAUUUAUAACAUUAUGUUGGCAAUAAUUCAAACUUAGGCUCUUCCUUUACCAAUGUGAACAUAUCACGAGGGUUCCCAAUUACAAUCUCAUACGCAUAAUAUCCUUAUAUGUGAACAUAUGACUAAUGUUGUUCUUUUCCCCUUCCUGUACGUACAAAACUUGCAGGUUAAAUCGCUCAUAUAGUCAUAUGUGAACAUUUUUUGAUGCUAAAAUGAGUGAUGAGAUAAACAAGGCCAUCAAAGCACACAUGUUUGAUAUACUACCGAGUACUGACUUUAAAUACAUAUGUAUCAAUAGCUUUUAUUAAUUGAUUUUUUGUGUGGUCACAGGACUUUGUCAGAUAUGAGGACAUCAUCUUACGUGGGUGAAAUUACACUUGCUAAACAGUGACCACUUUCGUGGUCAGUGGUAAGUCAAUUGUUAGACGCAACAACAUUACGUUUUCCCAAAUUUUUGUGGUGUCACUUUAUAGAAUAUAGGUGGCAUCUUGACAAGAUAAGUGAGGCGAGGAUAGUGACUCAAUCAGUAUGAUAUUAACUGGUUAUGUGAGAGGUGUUAUAUAGGCUUGCUUGUAGGGCUGAUGUGCAUUUUUUUAAUUCUGGUACUCCCUCCGUUUCUUUUUAUUUGUCGCUGAAUAGUGUAAAAUUGCACUAUUCAGCAACAAAUAAAAAGAAACGGAGGGAGUACUUGUUACUGUUACUCUCAUACGGAAACUGCAAGCAGCUAAACCCAUGCUAAGUAUUUUAUCAGGUAACAUGAAAAUGAUGAUGACCGGAAGCUCUUGUUGGAAGCAGCUAAACCCAUACCUAUUACAACCUCCUAAUUCUACUGCUUGAGGUUUUAGAAAAUCUAGACAUUUUUAAUAAAAAAAUUUGGCCCUUAGUUUGGAGCCAGUGGCCAUCUUUUGCCUGUGCUAUUUCUCCUUUUUUUCCUCCACUUUUUGAAUAUUAAAAUAUAAAUAACUAUGCCAAAACAGUCCAAAAUGACAAGUUCUCACUAGGAGCUACACUUCUCUUGAUAACUUACUAGGUUUCACUAUUUUGUCAAACACGCAGGAGAGUUGUAUAUCAUUGCAUUAAGGAGAAGAAAAUAUAAGGAUACAAGUAUACAAGCCACACACACUGUGUAACUAUAGAAGGAUUUAUCUGGAACUGAGACAUACAUCCGUAUAUAUAUGUCUCAACUGGUGUCAAUAAAAGUUCAUCUUUGAGUCAUUGUUGUUGUGCAGAAAUAAAAGAGACAGCAACUUAUGUCCAUUGUUAUUAAAACGUCGUUUAAACGUUUAAACGAGAAAACGUGUUUAAAAGUUGGAACGUUUGAACGUUUUAGGUUUAGGACGUAGAACGUUCGUUUCGAGCAUUUAAACGUCGUUUAAGCGUCCAAAUAGCGUUUUAGUGCGUUUUACAUGUUCCGAGGACGUUCUACCCGUCCUGGGCCUUCAGCAUUUUCUAGGUCACUUUCCUGGGCACUGACCAGCGCUGGACGCGGCGCCCUCACUCCCUCAGCCAGCCGCCGCUAUGCUCUCCUCUCUCCUCUCCUCAGCUACAGUCGGUCGCCGCCCUCCUCUUCUGCGCCGGCCAUCGCUUUGCUCUCCUCUCCUCUCCUUAGCCACAACCAGCUGCCGCUCUCCUCUCUCCCGUCCUCAGCUAGCCGCUACUCUCUGCCGGCCCACCGGUCGCUGACUGCGCCCACAACAGCCCAUGGUAUUCAUAUUGAUGCGUUCGAUGAUGGUUACUGAUCAUGCAUAAAAGUUAUAACUUAUGUGGUUGAACUUGUGUUGUUGAACUUGAUCUGUUUCUUUUUAUGCUAUUUGGCUUGUGAACUCAACUUAUGUAUGAACUUAUUCUAUAUUUGAAUUUCUAUGUCAAGUCUGAAAAGACGUUUCAACAUUCGUUUAAACGUUUAAAUGUUAAAAAGUUGGUUCAUAACAUUUUAACGUUUUACCGCUUUAAUAACCAUGCUUAUGUCUGUUAAUUGACAACUUAGGUAUGGAAUAUGCAUCUACACAUAAAACCAAUGCAGUCAUUAGCAUGGAAUAAUAUUGGUCUGCAUGAAGGGAAGAAAGUUGAAGCCUCUGCACAUAGAGACUUCUAAAUUGCUUAGAGCCAAUGAUCAGUGGCAACUAGACUGAAGUGCCCAUCAAAGCCAAAUAUUGAGUUUGGUUGUUAUCAGAAGUUCAGAACAGAUUAUGUAAACAAUAUUUUUGGGGAUGAAACCGAAACCCAACUUAUUUGUAUCACUAUGAUGCGGUAAGUUUCCUUAAAUGUAGUGUACCUUGGUUAGUGGCACAAAUUACAUUAUGAUUACCUGGUUAAUGGCACUGCAUCCUUCUACUCUACAUUAGCUGGAUGGUGAGCCUGUGUGACCAUAAAAAAACUGCAAAGAGAAUGUUAAAUAUUUAGAAUCAUAGAGCUAGAUGCACAGAAUCGCAACCGUCUGAUCUCGAUUUGGGGGGGCCUUUUUCUUUUGGGUUUCGAUUUCGUAUGUUUUCGUCUGUUUUGUAGCCCAACCGACUGUGCUUUUUGGGAUUCGAUGAAUAAGGUUUGGCCUUUUAAUUCUUUGAUUAUGAUGUGCACUUUGGUAAUUCUUCUUGCUUUUGCCAGCUAGGUUUCGAGGAAUGAUUGAACUCUUAUUCUUGGCUUCUAAUAGAUUUCUUUGAUGCUAUGUUUUUCUUUCUCUGUUAUAUAGUUUAUUUUCUCUGAUUCAGCUUGAUCUAUGAUUAUGUGUAGACAACUUUGGUACGAACAAGGCAGCUUCCAGUGGCACAUCACUCAGCACCAAGCGCCUCGAUGAUGACACUAAGGAAGAACGACGUGUUUCAAUAGAACAUCAGUGGUGCCCGAGGACGAGGAGGAUCUUGGGGCCCUUCACUUCAAACUGAACGAUUUGUUCAAAUUUAGCCUAGCACUACUUGAAUGUAACAAGUGAACAAAUGAUGGGCUCAUAUGCAACCAUUGAAUCAAUGUUUAUGGUACAAUGUUUGUUAAACUGAGAAACCUUCUUAUGGUUAAAGUUGUGGCAAGGCACUGAAAGCGCGAAAAAUGUUCUACUUUUAUUUAUAUGAGAUACAAAUAGCUUAUAUCAUAGCUUACAAGGAAAGAUCCACCAUAAUAAGUUUAGUUUCUAUUUAUAAACCGUAUUGAUUUGGUCUUUAUAUGUAGUAGUCAUACAACCAUUCUAAAUAUACAAUUUGAGACCAGAUCAAGCAUGUAUACAUAUAUUUUAUACUUCAAUACCCCCUCAAUUAUAACUUGGAUAAGUUAAUAUUGUACCCAAAAAAUUUAAUCUUUUUCCUACUACACUUUUGAUGAAACCAUCUGUCACCUGAUCCUUCGUUGACAUGGUUGGAACACCGAGUAGUUCAUGUGAGACUCUCUCUCUCUCUCUCACACAAAAUGAUAGUCAAUUUCAAUGUGUUUGAAACAUGCAUGACACUAGAUUAGUCAUUAAGUAAGUAGCACAAAUAUUAUCACACCAUAAUUUAGCACAAGGGGAUGCAUGAAUACUAAGACUUUAAUAAAGAUUGGAUCCACAUUACUUCAACAGUUGCAUUUGUGAAAUCUUUUAUAUUCAGCCUCUACACUUAAUCUUGAUAUCGUAGCUUGCUUUCUAGCACUCUAAGACACAAGAUUGUUGCCUAGCAAAAUAGCAAAACCCAUGUAGACCUAUCAUCAAGAUUGACAACCUAAUCAACAUUAAAACAUGCUAAUAAUCACCAAAGAUGGUUUCCUUAUUAUAAGUUCGACGUUUAGAUAUCAAAUAAUUCUUUUUACCAUUGACCAUUGAACACCAGUACGUGCAUGUAGAAUCUGACACACCUUAUUAACUAAGAAUGCAUUAUCUAUUUUUUAUCAAGGUUAAUUAUUAUAGUGACCCAUUAUGCUUCUAGAGUUUGUGACAUCUUUGACACCCAAUAAGUUCCCUUCCUCUAUGGAUACUUUUUCAGAAGUAGAAAUGGAGUGGAGACUGGUUUGCAAUAUAUCAUCCCGCUCAUUUCAUUAUAUUAGACACAUGUUUAUCUUAUGAGAGAUAUAUUAUGUAAUGUGCCUUAUAUACUUCCUUGAUGUGUACCCAUACUUAAGAUACCCUAAGAACAACACAAAGGGUCCACAAAUUCACAUGGCCUAGAAUGAUCUCCAAUCACGGUAACCCUAGUUCGACGACUCCAACAAGGAGAACCUUGAUCUAAGUUCCCCCGAUCAUGAUGCCCGACCUAGUUACCUCAGUUAGGAUGAAUCCAAUCGUAACCAAGCUAGCUAAGAAUUCCCUGACUAUGAUAGACUUGACCUUAAUCACCCAAACAAAAAUUCCAACCAAGUCAUCCUAGUUAGGCGACCAUGACCUCAGUCACCCUAAUACAAAGAUGAUUUAAAACCAAGCACCUCUGGUACGACCCCACGACCUCGAGUUGGCACAACCCGCUAAGGGGAAGUGCAUUUAUGAUUAUCUGACCAUUUGACGCAUGCACCUAACUGAGAUGUGCAAAAGGCAAGAAUAGGUAUUGUUGGUCACUUGUUCUCAAAUGCUAUAAGUUAAGAACAAGGCAACACAAAUGUUAAUGGUUAAAGACCUUCGUCCUUCGAAGCAUUAUCUCCCUUAGGAUAUAAUGAUCUUCAGACGAAGGUUAUGAAGGACAAACCUUCAUCAUCUCAAUAUGUAAUAAUAAAAAACAAGAACAUAUGAGACAUACAAAGAACAUGAAUGAUAAUAUCAAAUCACUAGAUUAUCUAUAUUCUUAUUAUAUGAUCAUGAACAAACGUUAAUGAUAUUGAAUUACAUUUGUACCUUUGACAUGACAGAAGGUAAGAAUCCAAGAGUGACGUGCGAGUGAUUACAAGUCAGCGUGAACUGUACAAGGGUACUGUUCAUCUAUUUAUAGGCACGAGACACAACCCGGACAAAAUUACAUUCAUGUCCUUGAUAACUAAUCAUGACUAUGACUCAAACUAUUAGGGACUAUGUAGUCUUUUCCUCUUUAAGUCGGUGCCACCCUUUGUCUCAAGCGUGUCAUCAUGCUGAAGCUCUUUUAGUAACAACUUCGACAUACAUCUUCAUGUUGCGCCUGCUUGCAUAUUAUCUUUCCGAAGGUGUUUUUGCUUAGAGGACCUUCGGCGGAGAAGAAGGCCCCCAACAUUAGCCCCUUUGUGGUGCUAGAUCGUUUUUUCGUAACGAGCUCGAUUCGCGAAAAACUCGAAGGCUUCGGAAUGCCGAAGGUCCGAAAAACACCUUCCCUGAUCUCGUUGCCGAAAAACGAUUAUAAUAUUCCAAGCACCGAGUGGUCCACCGUUCAGCCAGUGCAGGCGAUGUGUCGGUUCGCCUUCCCACCUGCAGCACUAUAUAAACAGACGGGUUGGUGAAGAGUUACCAAAGCAUUCAUUGCCAUUGCACUGUUGUGCUGUUAAAAAAUUUAACCAUAGCCGAAGCUUUGUGUGUUGCGCCUUGAAGCGAACACUUUCAUCGUUUAAGGUUAACUUUGUCAAACAGGUUUUUGAAUAAGAAGUCAUGGAACAAUCAGGUCUAGUUAUGACAGAGGGAACUACUAACGAAGGUACUCCUGAUGCCGAAGCUGAACAGACUGUUGUUGAAUAAGAAAAUGUUGAUGAAGAUGAAUAAGAUUACAGUAUUUUGAUCCCCACAAAGCCCAAUCAUUUAGAUUUUGAGAAAUCUAUUGUGUCCGAAGACGACAUGCCCAUGAUGAUGAAACUGGGCUAUUUUGGAUAAGCUGAAAGAAAACUUGUUCGAUUCGCUGGAGAAGAAACUACCCCAGUGCCGAAGAAGGAUGAAAUUGUGGUUUUCAAGAGCUUCUUCAGAGCGGGGUUGCGAUUUCCCCUGAAUGAGAUGAUAGGGGAAGUCCUAAAAAAUUUCAAAAUAUACCUUCAUCAGCUGACUCCUAAUGCUAUCGUUAGGCUCAGCGUCUUCAUCUGGGCCCUCCGAAGCCAAGGGAUGAGCCUAGAUGCCGAAGCAUUCCGCCGAGUGCACGAGCUGCACUAUCAGACAAAGGUCAGGGCAGAUGGUCUUCACAAAAAUUUUGGUUGUUACAAUUUUGCAUAUCGCAAGGAUACGAAGGCACCAGUCCUCAGCUACCGUACAAAGUGGCCAACCGGCUGGAAAAAUGAAUGGUUUUAUAUUAAAGCUGAUGAGAAAAAGAGGGAGAAGCUGAUGACCAUGGUCAUGAGCCCGCUGUCUUUAAACUUCGGAAUGACCAGGCCCCUAUGCAACAUGCAACUGAGGUCACCAUGCCAGCUGGCCGAAGUAGAGUUUAGAGUGGUGGCCAAGCAAACUAGUACCAGGGACCUGGUGCAGGAAUAUCUGGCCAACCAGACGUAUCCAACGUCAAGUGGCCGGGGAAUGCCGAAGAUGAAAGAAACGAAGCAGAAGCAUGAACUUGUUCGACUAGCUUAUCGUUUCAAGUUUAAAAAACAAUUCAAAAAGUCGUACAAAAAGUGGCUGGACAUGAUCGAGACAAUGUGCAAUGAAAUACUUGGAAAUUAUACCAAAAAGGAAGACCAACUCAUGGCCGCAGCCUUCGGCACCCGACCCAAACGAAGGUUGAACUAGGUGAUGGAUGCCUUGAAAUUAGAAUAUCUUGAUUAUGAAAGGCUUGAUAAAGGUGACGAAGGUGUGAAAAGAAAGAGAAUUGUCAGUAUUCUGAGCAGACAAGCUGCUAAAAUGGUAAACGAGGAUGAAAAAGCUUCAAAGAAAAGAAAAUCCACUCCUGAGCCGAAGGCUGCUACUUCGAAGAAGAGGAAGACUGAAAGUCCAGAGCCGAAGAUAACAGAGGCAGCAGAGGAGACUCCUUCUACGCCUCCUGCUGCCGAAAUAGCAGAAAUUUUAAAGGUAAUGACUGAAUCUUUAACCAUCAAGCUGCUAAGUCCUCUAGGGCCAGAACUGACGAACCUUUUACAGAAGAAGGAUGAGCCUUCGGCUACAAAGAAGAAGGCAGAUGGGCAGAAAAACGAAGAAUCGUUACUGUUAUGCAAGCCAUUGAAUGGACGCCACCGUCGGCCUCGGCAUCCAAAAUAACACCCAUUGCAAGCGCCGAGGCCAUUGCCGAAGCUAAUACCUCUGCCGAAGCUGCAGCUGCUGCCGAAGCUGCCAACCUUGAGAGUACACUGUCUAGGAAUGAUAAAAUGCUCUCGGAUAUGACUGUAGAAGAAACAACUGCGGCUGCAGAGAAGGUCAUGGCCACAGUGCCUGACAAAGGGAAAAAGAUUGCCAAUGCUGCUUCGAAAGAAAAGGACUUUGACCUUCGGAACCUGGUCGGUCAAGAAUUAUCCGAGGCCGAAAAGAAGGAGGUACAGGAGUAUGGGAUAUCCUGUGGCUACUAGCCAGGAGCUAUGCUCUUUGGUGGAAUCGAUGAAGGAGCCUUAGGAUGCAUUCGCGACCACGCCGGGGCAAAGAUAAUCGGCACUCUAUCGAAGAGUGUCAGCUUACCGAAGCUUGAAGCUGAUAUCAGCGGCUACCGGUGACAACAUAUCGUCGGCAGUUUGUUUUAUUCCAACUUCAAGGUAAAAUUCUGUUGUCUGAAUUUCUUUUAUUUUUGUGAUGAAGCAAGGUUUUCUGAUGUCGGCUUAUUUCUACAGAGUAUGCUGCUAAGUAAGGCACUGAGAAUGCAACAAGACCUCAAAGACAAGAAGAAUGAAAUCAUAAUCGAGGGCUUGGAAAACAAAAUUAAAGACUACGAAGCUUCUCUUGAGAAGAAAGACUUCCUACUUCAGGCAACAGAGGGUUCCCUUGUGGAACUUCAAACUGAAAAUGCUAGAUUAAACGAGGAGCUUCUCUAGGCUCAAGAAACUUUAAAGAAAAAUUCAGAACGCUUCGAGCAAGAGAAACAAGAACUGCAAACAAAAUGCAAAGCCGAAGCUGAUAAAAAUAUGAAGCUGCAGGAGUUUUUGAAAGAGCUUCAGAAUAAGUGCCUGGAAUUUGGUAGCCGUUGCGUGCAACGGUUGAAAAAGGUCUUCAGCUCGGUUGGGGCCAGUUCCAAAGAAAUUACACCUUCAACUGAAGACAUAACAAACACCUUCGAACAUAUUGAAAAUGAAGUCGAGGCGCUUGAUGAAAUGAUAGCCGGGCACGAUGACUUCUGUGCCUUGCUAGCUUAUCGCGGCAUAGCUGCAACAUUUAUGAAGGCUGGUUGCAUGCACGCAAAAACGGUAAAUAGACCAACCUUCAGUCUGUCUCCAACAGAUUUGGUUGAUAUCCCCAGUGAAGCCCGGAGCAUCGGGAACAUGUUUAUAACUCACAUUUGGGCUAAGGGUGGGCGAGAGUUGGCUGGUGACGAAGCCCGAAACUUGCUUAAGCCGGUAUAGAACUUAUACCUAUUGCUUGCUUUAUGUCUUGUAAUUUUUCUUUUUUACCUUAUACCGUUUGUUUAUCUGCAAGAUGGUGGUGCCGAAGAUUUAUAAUCCGAAGCACGUUCCGAAGGCUGUUGAAGCUUCUCUUUAGGCCUGCCUGUGUAGAGCUUAGUAACAUUUGUAUUAACUUUGUAGAAAAAACUGUAAUCGAGGAUUGAACAAUGCUAUGUAUAACUGUCCAUACCUUGUAAUAUAUUUUUACCUUUUCAUCCAUGUACAAGUUGCUUUGCUGUGGACGAAACUUGUAUUUUUUGAGCCGAAGGCGAAAAACACCUUCCCUUCUUUUCGUACACAACGAAGCAUGCUGUUGCGUCACAUGUAUACGUUUGAAACGAAGCUUCUUUGUGUUCAUCGAAGCACUGUCGUCGAAGAUGGAGUAUUUCUGUUCGUGCUUCAUGUUAUGAUGAUGAUGAUCCUACAAAUGUCUAAAUGAAUGUGUAUGAAUGCAAUGAAUGAUGUAAUGUAAUGUGCAAAUGAAUGUCCCGAACACACACGAAGCCACACCCAGACUCUACAUCCCAUUAGGAACGACUUUGGAGUCUUUAAGCUCUGCAUCCCUUUAGGAACGACUUUGGAGCUUCUUACCUUAUAUUUCGGUGGCAUUUAAGCUCCGCAUCCCCUUAGGAACGACUUUGGAGCUUCUUCACCUUCUAUUUCGAUGGUAUUUAGCUCUGCAUUCCCUUAGGAACGACUUCUGAGCUUUGGAACUUACGCUGCGCUCCCUUAGGAACGACUUUUUGUAGCUUCGUCAUGCUCUGCAUCCCCUUAGGGACGUCUUUCGAGCUUCUCCCUGUUUUCUUUUUGCACUCAAUGGUGCAAGCUCUAAUUUUACAUAUUACAUCUUUGGGGGAUUUUGGCCCUUGUAUUGCGUAGGGCUAAAUAAGAAUGUAAAAAUUACAAGCUAUGGCCCCAUUAAAAACCUUUCUCCCCUCCUGAAAGGAAAAGGGUGCCAUAGAAAAAGAAUGAAAAAAGAUUACAUCAAAUUACACAUAGUACCGUCGAAGCUCAUCCGUAUUGCAAGAUCUAGGUAUGUCGUUGCCGUCGAUAUCCUCUAAUCUGUAAGAACCGGGUCUUGACGAAGAUACUUCCAGAAAAGAACCUUCCCACUUCAGUUGUAACUUGCCCACUAUAUCUGGGUUGGCCACUCUCCGAAGCACCAAAUGCCUUGGCUUGAUGUUUUUCAAUCGAACUUUCCUGUCACGCCAUCUUAUUGUUUCGGCCCGAUAUUUAUUGAUGUGUUCUAUGGCCUAAAGUCUGGUCCCUUCUAUAGUAUCUUUUGCUGUUGGAUAAUCAGCUUCGUCUUCCACCGAAGCUGUUGUUCUUAUUGAUCCUGUCUUUGCUUCUUCUGAUGUUAUUGCUUCGUCACCAAACAGAAGCUUGAAGGGUGUAAAACCUGUUGACCUUGACACAGUUGUGUUGUGGCUCCACACCACUUUAAUCAGCUCAUCUGGCCACUUUCCUUUGGGCUGGUUGAAGAUUAACUUCAUUAUUCCUGUCAUUAUAAUGCCAUUUGCUUUUUCUACUAGCCCAUUUGAUUCUGGAUGCCUUACUGAUGCAAAAUUAAUUUUUGUACCAAUUCGAUCACAGAAAUCUUUGAAUGUUUCGGCAUCAAAUUGUGUUCCAUUGUCCACAGUUAUUGCCUUCGGCACGCCGAAGCGGCAAACAAUGUUUUGCCAAAAGAAUUUCUGUACUGUGGCCGAAAUUAUUGUGGCUAAAGGUUUUGCUUCGAUCCACUUAGAGAAAUAUUCCACUGCUACAACAACAUAUUUCAAAUUUCCUUGUGCAGGUGGAAGUGGACCUAACAAAUCCAGACCCCACCUUUGCAGUGGCCAAGUUGGCUGUAUUAACUGAGUUAGAGAUGAAGGUUGUUUCUGGUCUUUUGCACAUAUUUGACAAUUUUCACACUUUUGAACCAGAUCUGCUGCAUCCGAAGCUGCCUUCGCCCAAUAAAAUCCUUGUCUGAAACCUUCCCCAGCAAAGGCCUAGACCCAAUAUGAGAUCCACAUAAACCUGCAUGUAUUUCCUUCAUCAGCUCUUGACCUUCGGUUCUGGAUAAACACUUGAGUAAUGGAGAGCAGACUCCAUGUUUAUAUAACUCCCCUUCUAUUAUCACAUAUGGUCUUGUCCUUGCUUCCAUUCUUUUAUUAUAAACUUCGUCAUCCGAAAGACAGUUACCUUGGAGGAAAGAUAUAAUUUCAGUCCUCCAAUCUUCACUAUGUACAGAUGAUAUCGCAAGCACUACCCUCUCCAUAAGUUCGACUGAAGGUGCUUUUAUUGUCUCAAAAAACACUUCUGAAGGCAAAGUGAGCCCCUGUGCCGCUGAUUUGGCUAGCAACUAUGCAUGCUCAUUUUCCCCACUUGGAAUAUUUUUUACAGAAAAUCCUUCGAAAGAGCCGCCAAUCUUCAGACUGUAUCCAAAAGUUUUUCAAGCUUCGGAUCCCUUGCCUUGCUGCUUUUGUCUACAUGACCGGAAAUAACUUGAAAAUCAGUUUUAAGGACUGCCCUUCUUAUUCCCAUUGCCUUUAGCUUCCGAAGCACUAACAGAAGGGCUUCAUAUUCAGCAAUAUUAUUUGUACAACUAAAGUCCAGCCUUGCUGCGUAGCAUGUCCUAACGUUAGAGGGUGCUACUAAAACAACAGUCGCUCCUGCACCGAAGGUUCCCCAAGAACCGUCACAUAAUACUGUCCAGGCUUCGACGUCUUUUGUUGCUUCUUCUCCGUGAGCCCCUGGCGUCCAAUCAGCAAUGCAAUCUGCUAAUGCCUGAGACUGAAUUGAGGAUCUAUGUACAUAAUCAAUAGUGAAUUCAUUGAGCUCCGCAGCCCAUUUUCCAAUUCUUCUUGUAGCUUCUCUGUUUCUCAUUAUGUCUUUCAGAGGUUGUGAUGAAGGGACUAUUAUAUGAUAGGCUUGAAAGUAAUGCCGAAGCUUUCCAGAGGCCAUUAGCACAACAUAUAGCACCUUCUCCAAUUCUGUGUAAUUUUUCUUUGAUAAACUGAGUAGUUCGGAGACGAAGUAUAUUGGUGCUUGUCUUUUUACUUGACCAUCUUGCUUCUCCUGUACAAGUGCCGCAUUGACUGCAAAAUGAGAGGCUGCCACAUACAGGAGUAACAGAGUUCCUGAUGAAGGUGGAGUUAGAGUUGUCAAGUCUAUCAAGUAUUGCUUUAACUCUUCGAAAGCCUUUUGUUGAGCCGGACCCAUUGAAUAACUUCGGCUGACUUCAGUAUUUCAAAGAAUGGCAGAUUCCUUUCUGCCGAUCUUGAUAUAAAUCUAUUUAACGAUGACAGACUUCCUGCCAAUCGUUGAGCCCCCUUCUUUGAAUUUGGCGGCUCCAUCCGAAGGAUAACUUCGAUCUUACUUUGGUUAGCUUCGAUUCCCUUCGUUGAUACCAGACAGCCAAGGAACUUGCCCUUCUUUACUCCAAAAACACACUUUUCUGGAUUUAACUUAAGACCAGCUUGCCUGAAAUUGGCAAACGUCUCUUCCAAGUCGGCAACAUGAUUCUCUUGUUUUGUGCUUUUUACUAUGAUGUCAUCAACAUAAGUCAUCACAUUCCUGCCUAUUUGAGAGUGAAGAACCUUGGCUGUCAUUCUGCUGAAGCUUCCUCCAGCAUUCUUGAGCCCCUCGGGCAUCCGAAGGUAACAAUAAGUACCACUGGGAGUUAUGAAGCUUGUCUUUGGCUCAUCUUCUUUUUUCAUCCAAAUUUGGUGAUAGCCCGAGUAGCAUUCCAAUAGGCUCAUGAGUUCUAAAGAAGCUGCUGCAUCUUCAAGGGAGUCUAUUCUUGGUAAAGGGAACUCAUCCUUCGGACAUGCCUUGCUGAGAUCUGUGAAAUCAAUACACAUUCUCCAUUUCCCAUUAGCCUUCUUCACCAUAACAGUGUUGGCUAGCCACUCUAGAUAUGUUACUUCUCUGAUAACACCAACACUGAGAAGUCUCUUUACUUCAUUCCGAGCACCUUCGGCUUUAUCCUCAGACAUUUUCCGAAGUCUUUGCUUCCUAGGCUUGAAAGAUGGAUCCACGUUGAGUGAAUGCUCAUUGACACCACAGAGAUCGUUAGGUAUCCAAGCGAAGACAUCUUUGUUGUUGAACAAAAAUCUUAGCAGAGUCUUUUCUUGUUCAUCAGAUAACUGAGAUCCCAUCAAUACCCUUUGAUCUGCUAUAUCUUCACACAGGAGCAUAGGUUUCGGCUGAUCUGCCGAAGCAACCUUCUCUCUUUUGUGCUUAUAUUGUUGACAAGCUUCGGCUCCAUCUAUGUUAUGGAUCGCCUUUGAAUCCUACCAACUCCCUUCAGCUCUCCUGGCUGCUUCUUGACUCCCGUGAACAGCAAUGGGCCCUUGUUCCGAAGGUAUCUUCAUGCAUAAGUACGCUGAGUGGAGUAUGGCUUCGAAGGCAUUAAGCGUCCCUCAACCAAUGAUUGCAUUGUACGGGUAUUCCAUGUCAACAAUGUCAAAGACAACUUGUUUAGACCUUGUGUUGUGGACGUAACCGAAGGUAACUGACAUUGUCAUUUUGCCAAGUGCCACAAUCUGCCUCCCUCCGAAGCCACAAAGAGGGUGUAUUGCAUCAUGAAUCUUGUCUUCUGGUUCUUGCAUCUGUCUGAAAGCCUUUGCAAAUAUGAUGUCCGCUGCAGUGCCUGUGUCAACCAGAACAGUGUGGACCAGAAAUCCCGUGAUGACACCAGAUAUAACCAUGGCAUCAUUGUGAGGAUAAUCUUUAAGCUGAAGAUCCUCCUGGGAGAAGGUGAUUGGGAUGUGAGACCACUUGGAUCUGAUGAAGGGUCCUUGCACCCCAACAUGCUGCACUCUUCUUUGUGCUUCCUUCUUCUACUUCUUGUUAGCUGGCUCUGAGCUUGAACCGCAUGUGAUUGGGAGCACCAGCUUCGUGACCGAAGGUGCUACAACUUGGUCGUUGUACAAAGCCAUUGUUACAAUAGUGGAAGUGAGUUCACCGGAGGUGGGCGCCAAUGUUGGUCACUUGUUUUCAAAUGCUAUAAGUUAAGAACAAGGCAACACAAAUGUUAAUGGUUAAAGACCUUCGUAUUUCGAAGCAUUAUCUCCCUUAGGAUAUAAUGAUCUUCAGACGAAGGUUAUGAAGGACAAACCUUCAUCAUCUCAAUAUGUAAUAAUAAAAAACAAGAACAUAUGGGACAUACAAAGAACAUGAAUGAUAAUAUCCAAUCACUAGAUUAUCUAUAUUCUUAUUAUAUGAUCAUGAACAAAUGUUAAUGAUAUUGAAUUACAUUUGUACCUUCGACUUGACAGAAGGUAAGAAUCCAAGAGUGACGUGCGAGUGAUUACUAGUCAGCGUGAACAGUACAGGGGUACUGUUCAUCUAUUUAUAGGCACAAGACACAGCCCGAACAAAAUUACAUUCAUGUCCUUGAUAACUAAUCAUUACUAUGACUCAAACUAUCAGGGACUAUGUAGUCUUUUUCUCUUUAAGUCGGUGCCACCCUUAGUCUCAAGCGUGUCAUCAUGCCAAAGCUCUUUUAGUAACAGCUUCGGCAUUCAUCUUCAUGUCCCGUUUGCUUGCAUAUUAUCUUUCCGAAGGUGUUUUUGCUUAGACGACCUUCGGCGGAGAAGAAGGCCCCCAACAGUAGCCCCUUCGCGGUGCUAGAUCGUUUUUCGUAACAAGCUCGAUCCGCAAAAAACUCGAAGGCUUCGGAAUUCCGAAGGUCCAAAAAACACCUUCCCUAAGCUCGUUGCCGAGAAACGAUUAUAAUAUUCCAAGCGCCGUGUGGUCAACCGUUCAGCCAGUGCAGGCGAUGUGUCGGUUCGCCUUCCCAACUGCAGCACUAUAUAAACAGAUGGGUUGGUGAAGAGUUACCACAACAUUCAUUGCUAUUGCACUGUUGUGCUGUUAAAAAAUUUAACCAUAGUCGAAGCUUUGUGUGUUGCGCCUUGAAGCGAACGAUUUCAUCGUUUAAGGUUAACUUCGUCAUACGGGUUAGCUUCGUCAAAUUGCAAAAAAUCCAUCAAAAUGGCCAGUUGGGGCCAUGCUUCGUCGCCGAAGGUUCUGCAGGAAGAAACACCUUCGGCAAAUCCGUCUAAACGUAGUGCCGAAGCUACCACUCAUGAAGUUUCGGUACUAUAACGUAUCUGAAGACGAAGGUUCGAACCGACUUAAAGAUGAAAUGACUUUUUAGUCCAUAAGGGUCUGAGUCAUAAUUGUAAUCUUUUGUAAGGGGCAUGAUUGUAAUUUCUCAUAGGCUGCGUCCUGUGCCUAUAAAUAGAUGAACAAUAUUCCUUUACUGUUCACGCAAUCCUGUAAUCAUCAACGCAUCACACUGGAAUUAUUGUUCUUUGCCAAGGCAAAGGUAUAAAUGUGUCUAAAUAUUAUGUUUUAAUAUUUAAGUUUCUAUAAUAACAUAUAUGCAUAAUAAGAUAUAUGUUUUCGAUAUAAAUUUCUUUAAUGUUUCGUGUUCUAGCAUUGUUUAUAUUAUCUUAUAGAGCUGAUCACGAAGGUAAGACCUUCGUGAUAUUUUGCUUAUGGCCUUCGUCUCCGAAGUUCAUUAUAUCCUAAGGGAAAUAAUGCUUCAGCGGACGAAGGACAUUAACAUUUAACAUUUUAUGUUGCCUUGUUCUUAAUUCAUAGCAUUUGAGAACAAGUCCCCAACAUUGGCGCCCACCUCCGGUGAACUCACUUCCACUUUCUGAGCUGAUGGCUUCGUUCAACAACCAAGCUGAAGCUGCUUCGGCUACGAAGCUGGUGCUCCCGAUAAUAGGCGGUUCAUGUUCAGAGUCGGACAACAAGAAGCAGAAGAAGGAAGCUCAGAGAAGGGUACAACAUGUCGGGGUGCAGGGACCCUUCAUCAAGUCAAAAUGGUCUCAUAUCCCAAUUACCUUCUCCCAAGAGGACCUUCAGCUCAAGGAUUACCCUCACAAUGAUGCUAUGGUCAUAUCUUGUGUCAUCAAAGGAUUUCUAGUCCACAAUGUUUUGGUUGAUACAGGCAGUGCAACCGACAUUAUAUUUGCUAAAGCCUUCAGACAGAUGCAAGAACCAGAAGACAAGAUUCAUGAUGCUACACACCCUCUUUGUGGCUUCGGAGGAAGAAAAAUUGUAGCGCUUGGCAAGAUUACCAUGCCAGUGACCUUCGGAUUUGUCAACAAUACAAGGACUGAGCAAGUUGUGUUUGACAUUGUCGACAUGGAGUACCCUUACAAUGCAAUCAUUGGUCGUGGAACACUCAAUGCUUUCGAAGCAAUUCUUCAUCCAGCAUAUCUUUGCAUGAAGAUACCUUCGGAUCAAGGACCUAUUGCUAUUUAUGGGAGUCAGGAAGCUGCCAGAAAGGUUGAGGGGAACUGGACAGAUUCAAAGGCAAUCCAUAAUAUAGAUGAAGCCGAAGCUUGUGAGCAGUACAAGUACAGAAGGGAGAAGGCUGCUUUGACCAAUCAGCCAAAACCCAUGCUUUUAUGCGAACAUAUCGCAGAGCAGAAGGUGCUGCUGGGAUCUGAAUUGUCUGAGGAACAGGAGAAAAUCUUGAUAAGGUUUAUGUUCAACAACAAAGAUGUUUUUGCAUGGACAACUAAUGAUCUCUGUGGUGUUAACAUGGAUGUCAUUGAACACUCGCUCAAUGUUGACCCAUCCUUCAGACCUAGAAAGCAGAGGCUUCGGAAAAUGUCUGACGACAAAGCUGAAGGUGCUCGGAAUGAAGUGAAAUACCCAGAGUGGCUAGCCAACACUGUUAUGGUGAAGAAAGCCAAUGGUAAAUGGAGAAUGUGCAUUGAUUUUACUGAUCUCAAUAAGGCUUGCCCAAAGGAUGAAUUUCCAUUACCAAGGAUAGAUUCUCUAGUAGAUGGAGCAGCUUCGUCAGAGCUUAUGAGUCUGCUAGACUGUUACUCAGGCUAUCAUCAAAUUUGGAUGAAGAAGGAGGAUGAGCCAAAAACCAGCUACAUAACCCCUAGUGGAACAUAUUGUUAUCUUCGGAUGCCUGAGGGGCUCAAGAAUGCUGGAGGAAGCUUCAGCAGAAUGACAGCGAAGGUUCUCCAUUCUCAGAUAGGCAGAAAUGUGCUAACUUAUGUUGAUGAUAUUAUAGUAAAAAGCACCAAGCAAGAAAAUCACAUUGCUGAUCUGCAGGAGACAUUCGCUAAUUUCAGACAAGCUGGUCUGAAGCUGAAUCCAGAGAAGUGUGUCUUUGGAGUAAAGAAGGGGAAAUUCCUUGGUUGUCUAGUCUCAACAAAAGGAAUCGAAGCUAAUCCAAAUAAGAUUGAAGCUAUUCUUCGGAUGGAGCCGCCAAGCACAAAGAAGGGGGCUCAACGACUGACAGGAAGACUAGCAUCUCUCAAUCGAUUCAUAUCUAGAUCAGCAGAGAGAAAUUUACCAUUCUUCGAAGUGCUGAAGUCAGCCGAAGUCUUUCAAUGGGGAUCAGCUCAGCAGAGAGCCUUCGAAGAGCUGAAGCAGUAUUUGAUAGACUUAACGACGUUAACUCCACCAACGCCAGGGGCUCCCCUAUUGCUGUACGUGGCAGCUUCGCACUCAGCAGUGAGUGCGGCACUUGUUCAAGAAAAACUUGAGGGACAAACCAAUAAGCAAGCCCCAAUAUACUUCAUCUCCGAAGUUCUUAGUCUAUCAAAGAAGAAUUAUACAGAAUUGGAGAAGGUCUUAUAUGCCGUCUUAAUGGCAUCCAGGAAGCUUCAACAUUAUUUUCAAGCAUAUCAUAUAAUUGUUCCUUCAUCACAACCUUUGAAAGAUGUCAUGAGGAACAGAGAAGCUACUGGAAGAUUUGGAAAGUGGGCUGCGGAGCUCAAUGAGUUCAGUAUUGAUUAUGUGCACAGAUCCUCAAUACAAUCCCAGGCGUUAGCAGACUUCAUUACCGAUUGGAUGCCAGGGGCUCAAGGAGAAGAAACAACUAAAGAUACCGAAGUAUGGACGGUAUUUUGUGACGGUUCUUGGGGAACCUUCGGGGCAGGAGCAGCUGCUGUGUUAGUUGCACCCUCCAAAGUUAGAACUUGCUACGCAGCAAGACUUGAUUUUAGCUGCACAAAUAAUAUUGCUGAGUACGAAGCUUUGCUUUUGGGCCUUCGGAAGUUAAAGGCAAUGGGGAUUAGAAGGGCGGUUCUUAAAACCGAUUCCCAGGUUAUUUCUAGCCAUAUUGACAAGAGUUGUAAAGCAAGAGACCCGAAGCUUGAGAAAUAUGUAGACACGGUCCGAAGGAUUGAAGCUUCCUUUGAAGGGUUUUCUGUCAAAAACAUUCCUCGAGGAGAAAAUGAACAUGCUGAUUUGCUAGCCAAGUCAGGAGCACAGGGGCUGCCCUUACCUUCGGAAGUAUUUUUUGAAACAAUAAAAACACCUUCGGUUGAACUUCUUGAAAGAGCAGUCCUCAAUAUAUCUCCUGUUCAUAGUGAAUAUUGGAGAACUGAGAUCAUUUCUUUCCUUCAGGGUAAUUUCCUUUCAGAUGACGAAGCUUAUAACAAGAGAAUAGAGGCAAGAGCUCGACCAUAUGUUAUAAUAGAAGCGGAGCUGUACAAGCAUGGAGUCUGUUCUCCAAUACUCAAAUGUUUAUCGAGAGCCGAAGGUAUAGAAUUGAUGAAGGAAAUACACGCAGGCCUGUGUGGAUCUCACAUUGGAUCUAGGCCUUUGUUGGGAAAAGUUUUUCGUCAAGGAUUUUAUUGGCCAAAGGCAGCUUCGGAUGCAGCGGAAUUAGUCCAAAAGUGCGAAGGCUGUCAGAAAUGCGAAAGAGAUCAAAAACAGCCUUCGUCUCUGACUCAGUUAAUACAACCCACUUGGCCAUUGCAAAGGUGGGGCCUUGAUUUGUUAGGCCCGCUACCACCAGCAUAAGGAAAUUUAAAAUAUGUUGUGGUAGCAGUAGAAUAUUUUUCCAACUGGAUUGAGGCGAAGCCUUUAGCCACAAUAACUUCGGUUACCAUUCAGAAAUUUUUCUGGCAGAAUAUCGAUUGUCGCUUCAGAGUGCCGAAGGCCAUUACUGUGGAUAACGGAACACAGUUUGAUGCCGAAGCUUUUAAAGAGUUCUGUGGACAAAUUGGCACGAAGAUCCAUUUUGCAUCGGUUAGGCAUCCAGAGUCAAAUGGACUUGUUGAAAGAGCUAAUGGCAUCAUAAUGAUGGGAAUAAUGAAAUUAAUCUUCAAUCAGCCCAGAGGAAAAUGGCCAGAUGAAUUAAUUAAAGUGGUGUGGAGCCACAAUACAACGACAUCAAGGUCAACAGACUUUACACCAUUCAAGUUAUUAUUUGGUGAUGAAGCAAUAACUCCGAAAGAAGCAAAAGCAGGAUCAAUAAGAACAGUGGCUUCGGCGGAAGACGAAGCUGAUUAUUCUGUGGACAAAGAUGCUAUAGAAGGGAUCAUGCUUCAGGCUGUGGAAAACAUAAACAAAUAUCAAGCCGAAACAAUAAAAUGGCGUGAUAGAAAGGUUCGGCUAAAGAAUAUUAAGCCAGGACAGUUGGUGCUUCGGAGAGUGGCCAACCCAGACACAGUAGGCAAGCUACAGCUGAAGUGGGAAGGACCUUUUCUGGUAAUAUCUUCGUCAAGACCCGGUUCCUACAGAUUGAAGGAUAUGGAUGGCAACGACAUUCCUAGAUCAUGGAAUGCGGAUGAGCUUCAGCGAUAUUAUGUCUAGCUUAAUGUAAUUUUUUCUAUUCUUUUGGCACCCUUUUCCUUUCCAAAGGGGGAGAAAGGUUUUUAAUGGGGCCACAACAUGUAAUUUCUCUGUUUCUUAUUUCAGCUCUAUAAGAGCAAUAUCCCCCAAAGAUGUAAAUGUAAAAGCUGAGAACGCACCAUCGAAUGCAAAGAAAAAAGAAAAGAAAACAGGGAGAAGCUCAAAAGUCGUUCCUAAGGGAAUGCAGAGCUUACAGCGAAAAAUAAAGGCUGAUUCCGCCGAAGUAAAAGGCGAAGAAGCUCCUAAGGGAGGCUUACAUCGAAAAAUAAACGCUGAUUCCGCCGAAGUAAAAGGCGAAGAAGCUCCUAAGGGAGGCUUACAACGAAAAAUAAACGCUGAUUCCGCCGAAGUAAAAGGAGAAGAAGCUCCUAAGGGAGGCUUAUAGCGAAAAGUCAGCGCUGAUACACCGAAAAAUAAACGGUGAAGCCGAAAAAUAAGCGGCAAAGAGAUUUGAGUCAUUCCUAAGGGGAUGAAGGCUAUGAUUAUCGCUUCGAAUAUGUAUUUGGACAUUCAUUUGCACGAUACAUUACAUCAUGACAUUUGCAUUCAUAAACAUUCAUUUAGACAUACAAAGGAUCAUUAUCAUCAUAUGAUACAGAGAAGGCAGAUGCUUCGGCUAUGAGGAUAAAGCUUCGGGGAAAAACAGAAAGAAGAAAUUUUCAUGCUUCGAUGUGUACGAAAAGAAGGGAAGGUGUUUUUCGCCUUCGGCUCAAAAAGAAAAUUUCGUCCACAGCAAAGCAGAUCGUACACGGACAAAGGGGUAAAGAUAUAUUACAAGGUACGCACAAAUUUACAUAAAUUUCUUUACAAUCAUAUUACAAAAUUUUCUCUAGAUUCUUCUGCAGCAAAGUCUUUCGGAACAUCUGUUAAGGCUUCAACUCAUCAUUCUUUAGCUUCAUCAUCCUGUACAUAUUAAAACGGAAUGAGAAAAGCGCAGAGUUCAAGGAGAAGGUAAAAGUAACAAGUAUAAGUUUCUUAUUGGUUUAAGGUGGCUUCGAGCUUCGUCACCAGCCAUUUUUUGCCCGUCGUUUAUCCAAAUUUGAGUCAUAAACCUGUUUCCUAUACUUCGAGCUAGGCUGGGGAUGUCAAUCAAAUCUGCUGGUGACAAACUGAAGUUUGGCCUAUUAACAAUUUUCCUGUGCGUGCAGCCAGUCUUCAAGAAAGCAGUAGUUGUGCCUCGAGAAGCUAGCAGGGCGCAGAAAUCGGCAUGCCCAGCGAUAACUUCGUCAAGCGCAUCAACUUCGCCCUCAAUAUAUUCAAAGGUGCUUGGCAGGUUUUCUACUGAAGCUGUAAACUUAUCAGAGCUGGCUCCAAUUGAGUAAAAGACAUCCUUCAGCCGCUGCACGCAUCGGUUGCCAAAAUCUAAACAUUUAUCCUGAAGCUCCUUCAAUGAUUUCUGCAAAUUUGAACUCUUCUCAAUUUCGGUUUUGAGAUUCGUUUCAAGAUUCUUCUUCUCUUGCUCAGAUUUUUCUGAUUUUAUGAGUAAUUCACUGUUUAAUCUGUCAAUUUCGGCUUGAGCUUCUGCCAGCGAACCCUCCAUAGAGUGGAUGACGAAGUCCUUUUUCUCCAAAGCAGAUUCGUGAUCUUUGACUUUAUUUUCUAGAUCUUUAAUUGUAGCUUCGUUUUUCUCGUCUUCGAGAUCUUGUUGCAUCCUCAGCACUUUACUUAGUAGUAUACUCUGGCAAAACAACCUUCGUCAGAAAACAUCUUAAUUCAAAAAAAUAAUAAAAAGUUAAGAGUUCUACCUUAAAAUUAGCAUAGAAUAUGCUACCGGCGACAUGCUGUCAUCGGUACCUGCAGAGGUCCGCCUCAAUCUUCGGCAUGCCAACACUCUUCGAGAAAGUCCUAACGACCUUUGCCUCGGUUCGAUUCCGAAGGCAUCUCAAUUUCCCUUCAUUGACUCCGCCGAACAGCAAAGCCCCUGGUUUGUACCCACAGGAUACAACAUAUUUCUUCAGUUCUUCUUUUUCAGUUUCUGAUAACUCUUACCCUAGUAUAUCCUGAAAAUUGAAGUUUUCCUCUUCCAAAGUAUCUUCAAUUUGCUUUUUUCCUUUCUCAAUUGUUGUGUCCACCGCGGCCGCAAUAGCUUCUUCCUUAGCCAUUUUUAGAAGCAUGUUAUCAAUAUCACCAAGUGUGGUUUCUAGAUCAAAAUCUUUGGCAGCUUCAGCUUCGGCAGCGCCAGCGCCUUCAGUAAUUGGUAUUUUUGACGCCGAUGCCGGUGGCGGUGUCUGAUGAAUAACAUCGACCACUUGGAUAAUUCUCCGUUUUUUUAGCUUAGCUGGACUUUCCGUUGCCGAAGACUCCUUUUCCUUCUGAAAAAGCUUCGUCAGUUGUGGCGCCAGCGGAUUUAGCUUGAUAGGCAAAGGUUCAGUCAUUACCUUUAGAAUUUCUUCCACAUCGGCAGCAGAAGGCAUCGCAGAAGCUUCUCCCUCUUGGCCCGACGUUUUUGGUUUCGGGGCCGUAGCUUUCCUUUUCUUUGAAGUAGCUAUCUUCGGCUCAGGGCUCAGUUUUCUUUUCUCAAAAAUUUCUUUGUCCUUUUUAGCCAAUUUAGUAGCUUCUUUGUCAAGGACGCUGGCAACUCUUUUUCUUUUCUGGCCUUCGGCACCUCUGCCCAAUUGCUCAUAGUCAGGAUAAUCGAAAUUCAAGGCAUCCAUCACCCGAUUCAUUCUUCGCUUCGGACGAGUACCGAAAGCCGCAGUCAUUAACUGAUCUUCUUUCUUAGAAUAGUUGCCAAGGAUCUCGUUGCACAUAACUUCAAUUGUGUCCAACCACUCUUGGCAAGGUGCUUUAAAAUGUUUUUUAAACUUGUAAUAAUAAGGUAGCCGAACAAGCUCUUUCUUCUUCUUCUCCCCUUUCAGCUUCGGCAUGUCCCAUUCCUUCAAAGUUGGGAAUACUCUGAAGGCUAAGAAUUCUUGGACCAGAUCCCUGGUGCCAAUGUGCUCUGCAACAACCCGAAAUUCGCCCAGUGCAAUCUGGCAUGGACUAUCUGGAUACAUGACGCAUUGGGGCCUAGUUUCUCCGAAGGUUAAACUCAAAGGGCUCUGAACUAGCUUCUUCUCAUCUACUUUGACAUAAAACCAUUCACUCUUCCAGCCAGCUGGCCAUUUCGUACGAUAGCUGAUAACUGGAUAAUUGGCAUCUUUCCGAUAUGCAAAAUUGUAACAGCCGAAAUUGUCAUGCAGCCCAUCUUCUCUAGCUUUUGUCUGGUAAUGAAGCUCGUGUGCCCGGCAAAAACCUUCGGCAAGUGGCUCUGCCUCCUGGCUUCGGAGUGCCCAGAUGUAAACACUAAGCCUAACAAUGGUGUUAGGAGUUAACUGAUGAAGGUGAAUCCCAAAUCUCUCUAAAACAUCUGCAAUCAUCCCAUGCAGGGGAAAUCUUAACCCUGCUUUGAAGAAGCUCUUAAAAACCACCACCUCAUCUUUUUCUGGCUUCGGGGUAACUUCCUCUCCCCCGAAGCGAAUCAGCCCCCUUUUGUCUUCACUAAAAUAGCCUACCUUCAGUAACUUAGCCAUAUCACCUUUGGUAAUAGUAGACUUCCCAAACUCUAAGUGGCUGGGUUUAGAUGGCAUUGCACCGUACUAAUCUUCAAAUUCAUCUUCUUCAACAUCAGCUUGUUUUGCUUCGGCGGCAGAUGUAUCCUCUGAUGUUACCAACCCAGACCGCCUCAUUGCUUCAGAAAUUGGGACAGUUUCACUGGCUUCGGCUUCAUCUCCCUCACGUUCAACCCUGGCAGUGGAACACACUCUAGCCAUUUGAUUGUGAAUUUCUAGAAGUUUUUUUAAAUCAAUAACCUUUUUUCCGAAGCUCUUUUUGUGACGAAGCAGAAUCCGAGGUGGUGCUUCCUUUGAGUGCAAGGGUCAAGCUUCGACUAUGAUUAAAUUCCUAGCAGCAAAACAGUGCAAUAGCAAUGAAUGCUGUGGUAACUUCACACCUACUCGCCUGUUUAUAUAGUGCUGCAGGUAAGAAGGCAAAUCGUCAAGUCUCCUACACCGGACGAACAGUCGCUCGCACCCACUGAACGGUGGGCCACAAAACCCGAGAAGGUGAAUCUGCAUGGUGGGACUACUCCGCGCUCGGAAAUUUUAUCGUUUCCCGGCAACGAGCUCAGGGAAGGUGUUUUUCGGACCUUUGGCUUCCCGAAGCCUAAGAGACUUUUUCACGGAUCAAGCUUGUUACGAAAAACGAUCUAGCACCGCGAAGGGGCUACUGUUGGGGCCAUGCUUCGUCGCCGAAGGUUCUGCAGGAAGAAACACCUUCGGCAAAUCCGUCUAAACGUAGUGCCGAAGCUACCACUCAUGAAGUUUCGGUACUAUAACGUAUCUAAAGACGAAGGUUCGAACCGACUUAAAGAUGAAAUGACUUUUUAGUCCAUAAGGGUCUGAGUCAUAAUUGUAAUCUUUUGUAAGGGGCAUGAUUGUAAUUUCUCACAGGCUGCGUCCUGUGCCUAUAAAUAGAUGAACAAUAUUCCUUUACUGUUCACGCAAUCCUGUAAUCAUCAACGCAUCACACUGGAAUUAUUGUUCUUUGCCAAGUCAAAGGUAUAAAUGUGUCUAAAUAUUAUGUUUUAAUAUUUAAGUUUGUAUAAUAACAUAUAUGCAUAAUAAUAUAUAUGUUUUCGAUAUAAAUUUCUUUAAUGUUUCGUGUUCUAGCAUUGUUUAUAUUAUCUUAUAGAGCUGAUCACGAAGGUAAGACCUUCGUGAUAUUUUGCUUAUGGCCUUCUUCUCUGAAGUUCAUUAUAUCCUAAGGGAAAUAAUGCUUCAGCGGACGAAGGACAUUAACAUUUGCGGCUGCAGAGAGUACACUGUUUGGGAUUGAUAAAAUGCUCUCGGAUAUGGCUGCAGAAGAAACAGUUGCGGCUGCAGAGAAGGUCAUGGCCACAGUGCCUGACAAAGGGAAAAUGAUUGCCAAUGCGGCUUUGGAAGAAAAGGACUUCGACCUUCGAAACCUGGUUGGUCAAGAAUUAUCCGAGGCUGAAAAGAAGGAGCAAUAGGAGUAUGGGAUAUCCUAUGGCUACCAGCCAGGAGCUAUGCUCUUUGGUGGAAUCAACGAAGGAGCCUUAGGAUGCAUUCGCGACCGCGCCAGGGCAAAGAUAAUCGGCACUCUAUCGAAGAGUGUCGAUUUACCGAAGCUUGAAGAUGAUAUCAUCGGCUACCGGCGACAACAUAUCGUCGGCAGUUUGUUUUAUUCCAACUUCAAGGAAAAAUUUUGUUGUCUGAAUUUCUUUUAUUUUUGUGACGAAUCAAGGUUUUCGGAUGUCGGCUUAUUUCUAUAGAGUAUGCUGCUAAGUAAGGCACUGAGAAUGCAACAAGACCUCGAAGACAAGAAGAAUGAAAUCAUAAUCGAGGGCUUGGAAAACAAAAUUAAAGACUACGAAGCUUCUCUUGAGAAGAAAGACUUCCUGCUUCAGACAACGGAGGGUUCCCUCGUGGAACUUCAAACUGAAAAUGCCAGAUUAAACGAGGAGCUUCUCUAGGCUCAAGAAACUUUAAAGAAAAAUUCAGAAUGCUUCGAGCAAUAGAAACAAGAACUGCAAACAAAAUGUAAAGCCGAAGCUGAUAAAAAUGCGAAGUUGCAGGAGUCUUUGAAAGAGCUUCAGAAUAAAUGCCUGGGAUUUGGUAGUCGUUGCGUGCAACGGUUGAAAAAGGUCUUCAACUUGGUUGGGGCCAGCUCCGAAGACAUUACCUCUUUAGUUGAAGACAUACCAAACACCUUCGAACAUAUUGUAAAUGAAGUUGAGGCGCUUGAUGAAGUGAUACAUGGGCACAGUGACUUCUCUGCCUUGCUAGCUUCUCGCGGCACAGCUGCAGCAUUUAUGAAGGCUGGUUGCAUGCACGCAAAACGGUAAAUAGACCAACCUUCAGUCUGUCUCCAACAGAUUUGGUUGAUAUCCCCAGUGAAUCUCGGAGCAUCGGGAACAGGUUUAUAACUCAGAUUUGGGCUAAGGGUGGACGAGAGUUGGCUGGUGACGAAGCCCAAAACUUGCUUAAGCCGGUAUAGAACUUAUACCUGUUGCUUGCUUUAUGUCUUGUAAUUUUUCUUUUUUACCUUAUACCGUUUGUUUAUCUGCAGGAUAGUGGUGCCGAAGAUUGAUAAUCCGAAGCACGUUCCGAAGGCUGUUGAAGCUUCUCUUUAGGCCUGCCUGUGUAGAGCUUAGUAACAUUUGUAUUAACUUUGUAGAAAAAACUGUAAUCGAGGAUUGAACAAUGCUAUGUAUAACUGUCCAUACCUUGUAAUAUAUUUUUACCUUUUCAUCCAUGUACAAGUUGCUUUGCUGUGGACGAAACUUGUAUUGUUUGAGCCGAAGGCGAAAAACACCUUCUUUUCUUUUCGUACACAACGAAGCAUGCUGUUGUGUCACAUGUAUACGUUUGAAACGAAGCUUCUUUGUGUUCAUCAAAGCACUAUCAUUGAAGAUGGAGUAUUUCUGUUCGUGCUUCAUGUUAUGAUGAUGAUGAUCCUACAAAUGUCUAAAUGAAUGUGUAUGAAUGCAAUGAAUGAUGUAAUGUAAUGUGCAAAUGAAUGUCCCGAACACACACGAAGGCACACCCAGACUCUGCAUCCCCUUAGGAACGACUUUGGAGUCUUUAAGCUUUGCAUCCCUUUAGGAACGACUUUGGAGCUUCUUCACCUUAUAUUUUGGUGGCAUUUAAGCUCUGCAUCCCCUUAGGAACGACUUUGGAGCUUCUUCACCUUCUAUUUCAGUGGUAUUUGGUUCUGCAUUCCCUUAGGAACGACUUCUAAGCUUCGGAACUUACGCUACGCUCCCUUAGGAACGACUUUUUGUAGCUUCGUCAUGCUCUGCAUCCCCUUAGGGACGUCAUUCGAGCUUCUCCCUGUUUUCUUUUUGCUCUCGAUGGUGCAAGCUCUGAUUUUACAUAUUACAUCUUUGGGGGAUUUUGGCCCUUUUAUUGCGUAGGGCUAAAUAAGAAUGAAAAAAUUACAAGCUAUGGCCCCAUUAAAAACCUUUCUCCCCUCCUGAAAGGAAAAGGGUGCUGUUGGGGACUUGUUCUCAAAUGCUAUGAGUUAAGAACAAGGCAACACAAAAUGUUAAAUGUUAAUGUCCUUUGUCCUUCGAAGCAUUACUUCACUUAGGAUAUAAUGAUCUUCAGACGAAGGUUAUGAAAGACAUACCUUCAUCAAUGCGACAUACGUUAAUAUAAGUAGAAGUAUAUGAAAUAUAAGAGACAACAUAAACAAUCAUAUAACAUUAUUAAUUCAUUCUCAUUAUAUUAUUCUGGAAAGACAGAAACAAUAUUGAAUUACAAAAGGUACCUUCGGCUUGAUAGAAGGUAAAAAUACAAGCGUGACGCAAAAGCGAAUACAAGUCAGCGUGAACAGUACGGGGGUACUGUUCAUUUAUUUAUAGGCACAGGACGCAGCCUGUGAGAAAUUACAUUCAUGCCCUUUACAUUUAUUAUUGACUUAUGGACAACUCUAUGAGGACUAGAUAGCCUUUUCCCCUUUAAGUCGGUUCCUUUUUCGCCAUUUAGCCGAAGCUCCCCUGCGCGUAGCUUCGGAGCAACUCCAACCUUCGUCACGAUCAUGUUUUUUACAUCGUACAUGCUUUUAGCCCGACUCCGAAGGUACCUGUUCAUAUGUCACACUUGGAAGAUAUUGUUAAAUCACGUUUUUGAGGACCUUCGGAGGACGAAGACUCCCAAAAGUAGCCCCUCGCAGUAUUAAUUUGUUUAAGAUAACGAAUUCAGACUGCGACAUGGACGAAGGCCUUAAGCCGAAGGUCCGAAAAAACACCUUCCCUUUGCUAGAAUAGCAACAGUCAAUGACGGACGGGCCCCCCCAAUUUGGAGCGUGCUGAGCGUAUAAAUAAGAACUCACACCAGCUAUAUUUGAUACGUUGCUUGUGCCAUUUGCUUUACUUCCUCAAUUUCAUAGCUCUUGCUCACUAACGCUUGCUAGUUUUUCAAGAUUUCUAAGCUUCGGUUAAAAAGACGCAUUUUCGUCAUUUCUGAAGGAGAAAUGUCUCAAGACAAGAAGGUUGCUGCUGAGACGAAGCUGACUGAAGAGGAGAAGCUUUUUGAGGAGAAGAAGGCUGUGAAUCUUUACAUUGCUGGAUUUAUCGAGUCAAUGGCAAAAACAAAUACAGAGAAGAUUACUAAGGAGAUACUGGAGGGCCUGUCUGAAGAUACUGGUGACAGUGAUAGUUAUGAUGCGGAAAGUGGGGGCGAAGAUUCGAAGGAUCGGCCUUGGAGACCAAGUCACUCGAUUUUCGGAAAAUCGACCAUCAAACAAAGUCAUCUUGAGAACAUGAGAGGAAGAUACUUUCGGGAUAUGUCUAUUGUAAGGGCUGGUGGAGACAACAAUGUCAUGGCCCCCAAGGAAAACGAAGUUGUGAUUUACCGAAGCUUCUUCAAAGCUGGGCUUCGGUUCCCACUGAGCAGGUUUGUAGUUGAAGUGCUGAAAACCUACCAAAUCUUCCUUCAUCAGAUGACCCCCGAAGCCAUAUUGAGGAUGGGAGUCUUCAUGUGGGCAGUAAGAAGCCAAGGGAUAGAGCCAAGCGCGAAGUGCUUCUACCGCAUGCACGAACUUCUGUAUGAGACGAAGGCCAUGGGUAAAGAACAGUAUCACAACAACUUCGGUUGUUAUGGAUUUAUCGCCCGUCCCAACGCAAGCCACCCAGUGCCAACAUUUCGGAAGAGAUGGCCCGGAACUUGGAUGAAAGAAUGGUUUUAUGUGAAGAACGACUUGACGGCGAUGGAGGAUAUCCAGGAGGUUAUCAUGCGCCCCAUAUGGUCCCGCUUCGAUCUCCGAAAGCCGAAGGUUGAAAUUGAUGACGUCACCGAAGCGUGUCAGAAGGCGUUUGGUACUGUUUGCUUCUUCAUUGGUACAAGAGAUUUAAUUCAAGAGCAUAUAGCAUUCAGAGUAUGGCCGCUUGUAGAGAGCUGGGAAAUGCCGAAGGAGACCAUCACCAAGUCUAGCGAAGGUGAACUGGUCCGGCUGAAGUAUACAUUCAGGUAUGGGGAUAAGUUCGACGAACCAAACGAUGACUGGAUAAAAUGCAUCGAAGUUACAAAUUAUGAGUUGCUUGGAGCCUAUUCCAAGGCAGAAGAUAAUGCGCUAUCUACAGCCUUUGGAGGUCGGGGAAAAAAGAGAAUAAACAGAGUUUUUGACGCCAUCGGCUUUGUCUACCUCGACUACCACUACCCGCUGUGGGGACAGGGGAAGAAGAGAAAAGCUGCUGCUUUGGCCGCCCUAGCUGAACCUGUGCCGAAGGCUGCAGGCAAAAAGAUGAAGGUACUUACCCAUCGGCCGCGUUACAUUGAACCGGCUGUGGUGCCUGAGUUUGGCGGGGAGGCCUCUUUAGCUACUGAGUAAAGAGAAAUUGUUCCUCCCAUGCAGAGGACUGAAGAGCCAGCUAUAAUGCCGAAGGCACCUUCGGUUGAGCUAGUUGAAACGAAGGUUGACAAAGAUAAGGCUGAAAGGUCAAAAAUGGAAGAAGUAACAAAGAUGCCAGGGAUUUUAAGUCCUUCAACAGAAGCAACAACGCUGAAGGCACAAAAGAGUUCUGCCACAACUCCUAAGAGAAGGAGGAUGGUAAAUAUAUUAGAUGUAUUGGAAACAACCGACUCCAUAAGUCUUGCUCCCACAGGGAAGGUUGCCAAAGCUGACAAAACGCAACCCCAAGCUGAUACUAAGCAAAUAGAAGUUGAAGCUACAAUAACCCAGGCUGAAACUGAGGCAGGUCCCACAGUGCCUGCUGAGACGAAGCUUGCCACAACCGAGCAGGGGGGCGAAGGAAUAACUCCAGAUACUAAUAAAGCUUUUGAGAAAAGUGUGGCCAAAGAAGCCGAACCCUUGCUACCGAAGCACUCUCCGAAGAUUUUGAUUAUAUCAUUCGACAUGCUGGGGGAAAAAGAUUAUCCGAAGAAGAAAUUUUUGAAGCCAAACACUAUGCCCGGGAACUGAAGUAUCCGAAGGGGCCUUAGUAUUUAACAGUACGGACGAAGAUGAUUUCUUGUACUGUCUCCCGGACAACAAAGAAUUAUCCGUCUGCCGGGAGAUGGCCAGAAGUAUGGGUUUCCCGAAGCUCAAAGCUGGCCUUUGCGCCAUGAUGAAGGCCGAUCUCGCGGAUAGUCUUACAUACAACAGUCUGAAGGUACAUAAAUUGUGAAUUUUGAAGCUUAUGAACUCUGGAAUGAAGUCUUUUAUUCUCAUGUUAAUCCUUUUAUUCUUUCUUGCAGGGCUUAAUACUUAGCAACGCUCUAAGGGCGCAAAAGAAUGUUGAAGACGAGAGCUGCACUAUAGCUCUCAACAACCUUCGAACAGAGGUUAUCAGGCUGAGAAACGAAGCCACGGAAAAAGACAAAAUUCUACUUUCAUUGGUGGAUAAAGUAAAAGAAGAUGAAGCUAGUUUCAAGGCUCAAGCUGAAAUUCAAAAGAAUGAGAUCGAAGAUCUUCGGAAAUAGCUGGCCGAAACCAAAGAAAAAUGUGGUCUCGUAGAGGCCAACCAAGAUAUUAGUGAAUAUUGGAAAAACUAUUUAGAAAAAACAGUUGAAGAACUUCGCGCAUCCAAAGAAAGAUGCUUUGAAAAAUCCCUGGGCUGCAUGGAGAAGAUAAAGGCUAGCUUCGCCAACGUGGGCGCCUAUUCUAACGAAGAUAACUUUAUACGAGGCAACCCUGAAGGUGUUAUCGAAUGGAUAAGCGGAGAGGCCGAAGCUUUUGAAGAAAUUUUAAGUGAUCGCAGGGAUGUCUGCGCGUUCUCCGGUGCAAGAGGAAUUUCAGCCAUCCUGGAGAAGGUGGGUUGCGAUCAUGUCAAAACCUUGACCCAGGCCGAAGCUGCCUUCUCCGUGGAUGAUACAAAAGAUCCCUCAGCCGAAGCAAGUUUGAUGGGUGGAAAAUUUUACACUGACAUCUGGGCAAAUGGUGGCCGAGAAAUGGCUCACGAAAUUAUGAGGAAAAGUGAAAAAGAUAUUCAUGACGCUCGAGAAGCAGCGAAAAAAGCUAAGGAAGCUGCAGAACGCGAGAGACGGAUAUGUAUUGUUUUGUGGCCUUUAGCUUUAGCGUUUGUUUUCGUGACUCCGAACUGAUUAAUUUUUUCUACUGCAGCUGAGCUAUCUCCUCCACCAGAACCGUUUGACCCCCUGGCCGACCCAGAAACGAAGAAAGCAAUAGAGAUCAUCAAUAUGGUUGAAUCUAUUGUUGACGAAGUUGUUAACAAGUUGUUAAAUGAAGUUGCGGAGAAGGUCCUGAAAGAGGACUAGUACUCAUUGUAAAAACAUUUGUAGAUGAUCAAUGUAACUUUUGCUGUAAUAAUACUAUAAUAUUUGAUGCGCAUAUUUUUGAAUCUAAUAUGUAAAUUAUUUGUAAUUUAGCUCUUUGCGAUGCAUGAAACUUUAUAUACGUACCGUACCGUUUUUGAGCCUCCGGCGAAAAAACACCUUUCCUUCUUUUCAUGCUUCGUAAAGAAAAAGAUUCGUGCUUCGUGAAAAUAUCCAUGCUUCGUAAAACAACCAUGCUUCGUAGAAAUUUCCAUGCUUCGUAAAAACAACCAUGCUUCGUAGAAAUUUCCAACCUUCGUAAAAACAUCCAUGCUUCAUAAACAAGGAAUCCCUUCUUUUGCAACAGAGCUGACGAAGCUGUAUUUUUUGACUUUGUGCCUUGGCAUAUUUUCAUUUUUACAAAGCAUUCUCCGAAGAUCGACUUCGUAGUCAAUUCAUGUCAUAGGUGCGAUAUGAUGUAUGAUGUGAUGCUAUGCAAGAUGAUGUGAUGAUAUGAUGCAAAGAAUGAUGCCAAUGCCGAAGACUCACACCCACACGCCCACACUGAAACACACAAUCUCUGCGUCCCCUUAGGAACGAUCGAAAUCUCUUUGUCGUUUAUUUUUCGGCUUCACUGCUUAUUUUUCGGUGUAAGUUCUGCAUUCCCUUAGGAACGUCUUUUGAACUUCUCCGCCUUCUAUUUCGGCGGUAUAAGUUCUGCACCCCCUUAGGAAUGUCUUUUGAACUUCUUCACCUUAUAUUUCAGCAGUAUUUGGCUCUGCAUUCCCUUAGGAACGACUUUUGAGCAGAAAACUUACACUGCGCUCCCUUAGGAACGACGUUUUGUAGCUUCGACGAAACUUACGCUGCGCUCCUUUAGGAACGGCUUUUUGUAGCUUCGACGAAACUUUGGCUACGAUUUUUAGCUCUGCAUUCCCUUAGGAACGACUUUUGAGCUUCACUAAUUUUUUAGCUUCGUAAUUAUUUUGAAGAAGAUAUAUUUCAUUCUGAUAAAAGUGAAACUAUUACAAGAAAUUAAAACUAAAUUUACAUUACUUGUUCCUUAUUGAAAAACAAAAUUACAUAGAAGAUAAAAGUAUUUCGAGGGUAGGAUAUCGCUCAAUAAAUGUGCUUUGAUUCUGGCACAUUACUGUUGACUGUGCGAGCUUCCGAUUCCUCCCUGAGCUCCCAUUGUUGCUGGGUGUACUGGCGCCCUUCUAGCUGCUGGCUUCGAGAGUAUGUCGGUUGUAGUGGUGGUGGGGGUGGGAGUUGUGGCCAGGAGGCCAGUGAAUAGCUAGCCAAAGCAACAGAAGCUGCAGGAUGAUUACCCACAUAUUCUGGUAUGUAGGGAGAGUGGCACGAAGUAGUGUGCAAGACCUGCUUCGGCUGAUUCUGCCUAGUUUCGGCUUUGGCGAUCUCCUUCUGCUUCUGAAUGGUGAUUCGACAUAUUCUUGUAGUGUGGCCCUUGUCCUCACCACAAAAUAAGCAAUAAAUCUUCCUGGGCUGAUCCCCAUAUCUUCCUCCGAAGCCCCUGGCGCCUCUGUCCCUUGGAGCUAGCGGCCUGAAGGAGCUUUGCUGUUGCCUCGAAGAUUGUGAGGUGUACUGUGACCUCUGGGGCUGGCUUCCCUUGUCAUCGCUCUGGCUGGAGCUCUGGAUCGACCUGACAUGCCUUGGAUGAAUUCGUCCUCCGAAGCCCCUGGUCAUCUCAGAGAAUUUGUAAGCUUCCUCCCUUCUUUGGCGGAAGUCAUUAUCAGCCCGGAUGUACUCAUCCAUCUUUUGAAGCAACUUCUCCAGAGUCUGUGGGGGUUUUCUAGUGAAAUAUUGAGCAGUAGGUCCUGGCCGAAGACCCUUGAUCAUGGCCUCAAUGACAAUCUCAUUGGUCACUGUAGGCGCUUGUGCCCUCAGUCGCAAGAACCUUCGGACAUACGCCUGGAGGUAUUCCUCAUGGUCUUGCGUGCAUUGGAACAAGGCCUGAGCUGUGACUGGCUUCGUCUGAAAGCCUUGGAAACUCGUCACCAGCAUGUCCUUAAGCUUCUGCCACGACGUGAUAGUCCCUGGCCGAAGAGAAGAAUACCAUGUUUGGGCUACAUUCCGGACUGCCAUGACGAAGGACUUCGCCAUGACUGCAGUAUAGCCCGCAUACGAAGAUAUAGUUGCUUCGUAGCUCAUAAUAAACUGCUUUGGAUCUGAGUGCCCAUCAUACAUGGGAAGCUGAGAUGGCUUGUAUGACGGGGGCCAUGGGAUAGCCUGCAGCUGUGACACCCCAGUGUCACCUAGGGUUUCUCUCAAAUGCCAAACCAAGAACCCUUAUUUCAUGAGAACCAAAGUAAGCAUGAGCAUCAAAUUAACUAAAGUAAUAAAGGAUUCACCAAGUAUAUACUUAAAAGUAUCAUGAUCAAAACAAUUAAGUCUUUUAAAAAGGUAAGAAUGUGCAACCCUAAUAAAAACCCUAAGUGAGCCCCAUGAGCAAAAUUAAAGAAAAUAAGGAAAAGGGUAUGAAAGAUUUGAAAUUGUGACUUGAGCCAAUUAUAAAAAUUGAAGUAUAUUUAAUGAGCAACAAGAAAGGUUGAGAAAGCUUGGCCAAAAUAACUCAAAUAAAACCCCAAAUCAAGCUUCUCAUGUGGGGACUUAAUGGGAAUUCUGAAUUUCAGAAUUCUGAAAUUCAGACCUUGAGCCAAAGAUCAGGGAUGUUCACCUUGAUCCCUAACUCGAAUCCUAAUGGCCCCAUUAACAAAAUUGUGUCUAACUAACCCCUCUGUCGUGUGCCAGAAGAUGGCAUUGGGACGUGAGCUCUAGACACGACAAAACCUUGGAUUUGCCUCGGGUUUGAGCAGGGAGAGACAGACCGGAAUUCCUGGCUCCAUAUCUCUGCAACCAGUAGGCAAAAUCCUAUGACCCCCACAGAAGAUCGGUAGCUUGUAGGGAGGAGAAGAGGUUUUGUGCACUGACCAAGGCGAGAGCAGGCUCGGAUGAGCGACCACACGCGCCAGAACUUGGGCAGAACGCACGGGCACACGUGUUCGACCCUGGUCGGCACGCCAGAGCUCGCCCAACCCGCGCGCGCGCUUGCCCCGGCGUCCGGUCAAGUCCGCCGCGCACCCAUGCCCUCGGCCGUGCCCGCCCGCGCCUAUAAAGCCUCCUCGGGAGCACCUCACUUCGCCCCGCACUCAUCUUCACCGGCCGACCACUUUCCCUUAGCUCCGACGAGCUUAAUUCCGCCCGCCAUUGCCGCCAGAGCUUUGGCCACCGUGGCCAGCCCACUCCAGCCACCCUCGUGUCGAGCCAGUUCUUCGGCUAGCUCCGCCAGUGGCCCGUGAAGCUUGCCAAGCCCUCGGACCAGGCCGGACUUCACCGGAGGCCCAAGAUCGACCUCACCGGACUUCGGUCUUCCGCCGCCGCGCGUGGACCGAGCUAUCCAGUGAGUCUCCGACCAAUUUCUUGCGCUCAUAUCUUCUCUGGCAUCCCGUGAACCUCUCUGACCCAUCCAAUUGAACUAUCUCGCCGUGAGCAGGCCGGACUCCAAGCCGCCGACGAGCAUCCCUGCCUGCGUGCGUGGACCGACCGACUCCGGCCAUCUCUGACGGCGACCCGCACACCGUUGUGAUCCCCGAGACCUCCCCUACGUCCUCGACCACUUCACCGGAGCAAUCUCGCCGCCGGUAAGCCCCUCCGCCCUUUCUUCCGCCGCGGUCAUUGUUUAAGUUAGGAGAAGGACCUCGGGUUAGGAUUUGAAGAACCCGAGGGGUUUUCUGUAACGUCAGUGACUCAUGUGAAUAGUAGCCUAAGGACUGAUCCGCGAAGAAAACUUAGAAAACCCGCCAGGGACCCCAGUGCAAAGUGGAUUUCCAUUUAAUCAAUUCUGUUAAUCUUUUUUUAUGACCAGAGAACUUAGAAAAUCCAUAACUUAAUGAAAUCUUAAUAAAAAGUUGUCAAACUAAUUUUGCUAGAUUUUGAAUAUUAUGGACUGUCAUUUAAAAAUGGUGAACCCUAUGCUUUCUGUUCUGAAUUUUAGAGUUUAAAAUUAAAAACAGAAACCUACCAAACCUUGUUUAAUUAAGGAAAAUUAGUUUUUCUUCUGUACUGAACCUAAGAAAAUUUGUAGAUGUUCAAACCUCACUUAAGCACUGUUUAAAAAUAGUAGGAACCCCAGCAUUGAAGAAUAUAGUGUAGAUAUUCAUGUAAAGCUAUUUUACCCAAAACUUAGGAAAAAUCAGAAAGGCAUUAGAAAUUAAUGAAUAGAGAGUAAAAUUAUUUUUCCUAGUUUGCUUAAGUAACAGAGAACCUAGGAAAAAUAAAGAGACCAUUAGUUCAGACCAGUUUUAAAUUAAAAUAUUUUAUUUAGCCUUAUUUGGACUGAAAAUCAAUUAUUAGAGAUACAAAACUAUACCCAAAAUGGAUAAUAAAAAUCCAGUGGACUUACAACCACCAGAGCCCCACUACAAAAAUAGAGAACACCUCAGCCAACUUUUUAAGUAAGGAAAAUAAAUAUAAAAUGCUAAUGAGGCAUUUUCCAAAUAAAUCAUGAACAACCCCUAAUAAUGUGAUAAUGGGCAACCAAAAAUUUUCUAAGUCCAUAAUGAGAUAAACCACCUGAGAAAAAUGCAAACCCAUGAAAAAGGAGCAAACUCAGACCUAUUGCUAGUAUUUUAUAAGAAAGGCCACUUAAUUCAAAUAAUGCAUACCACCCCUUCCCUUAAGCAAAAAGAGGCCAAACUUCAGAAUGAUUGCUCUUGCACAAAACAAUAACUAAGAAAAAUGAGAACUUUGUUGUUUGAUAUUUUUCAAAUAUAGUGGUAGUAGAAAGCACCUACUUGGCUAGAAACUUGAGAAAACCAUAGAAACAUAAUUAAAAGGUAUUAAUGACUAGAAAUUUGUAUCAAGUCAUGUUAUAACACCUAAAAGAAUUCAGUGGAACCCCAAAAAUAAACCUACCACUUACCUUAGCUAAGUUUGACCCAAUUUACCAAGUAUACCACCCAAGGGACUUACAUAAGCAAAGUUAACCUUGUUUAACUCAAAGAAGAUCAUACACCUUUAAGUUGUAAUUUCUAAUAGCACAUAUCAUAUCAUGCAUAUAUCUUACGCAUUGCAUUUAUUAGAUUGUAAUCUUGCCGACGGAGAGUACGUGCUCAUCCCCGAGCAAGGACCUGUCCAAGAGGAAGACCAGGAGCAGGCUUCAGAGGCUGCUAUUGAGGAUCUCCCCGCAGCCCCAGCAAUUGAAGGCAAGCCCCAGUUUUAUGCAUAACCGUAUUAUUAUAUGCUACUUUACUACACUUAAUGCUUGUAGGAUUGCAAUGUGCACUUAAGUGUAGGAGUUGCUUGAAACCUCUAGUUGCAUGAACUUAGGAUUCCUUUUUGAGAUGAAUACUAGUAUGCUAGGUUGAGUAGCUGCUUGCUAAUCAGGAUCUCAGUAGAAGUCGAGUGAUUUUUCUAGCACUCGCGCGAGGUCGGGAAUUGAUUGUAUUCACCUUGAUAACGGGAUAUAUGUUAGUCUAUGGACUUGGAUCCAGGGAGGAUGCCUUGUCCAUGAGACGGGAAAAAGGAAUUAAGGAUUAAUGUGUGGAUACCUGAGUCAAGCUUUUGAACGUACUAAGCACAUGCCGGGAAAAAUGGUAACCGGUAAACCUAGUACCUGAUUGAAGCCGGGCGCGGACUUUAUCCCUCGUGCGACCUGAGACUGGGUCUCCCAUGCUAGCUAUGGUGGAUACAAGUGCGGUCACUGCACGACGGCAUCCGGGGUCAGUGGAGCAUUGUAUGCCAAGGCGGUGAGGCCUGGACGCGAACAGGGAAUCGAUGGGGACGGUUGACAUGUGUGGGGACGGAGUGCCCUGACAUGUCGUGUGUUUAGGUUUACCUUGCAAGGUUAAAACUCGAUUCGAAUCGUCUGCUUCUCGCAGCUAAUGAGACUGCUUGACCCCUUGUACUGCAUCGAGUAAGAAGUGAAAUGUGGUUACAUGAGAUAACUUAUUGAUUGAACUAAAUGAUUGUUACCAUGUAUGCUUAGAAGGAGCAAAUCUAGCUAAGUUAAUGAGGAUAGAAUUGGAAAAGCUAAAAACUGAUUUAGAAACAGCUAGUGCUUUUGGAAAACCAAACCCCUCAGCCAAACAGCUGCAUAGUCUAGAGGUAGAGGAGUAGACUCCUCACACCAGUUAAGUCUAGCUGAGUAUUAGUAUACUCAGCCUUGCUUGUGGCACAAUUUUUGUAGGUACCAUUCAGGAAAUGGUUGAUGGUGUGACUUGGCCUACCACCCUGCCACCGGGUUGGACGGUCGAGUGGGAUGUUGCUCCGGCAGGAGAGGAGCACGAGGAGUAGUGGGCUAGGCCUUGCCCAAUUCCUCGAUACCGACGACAUCGAUUAUCCACUGCACUUUAUUUUGUGAACUUUAUUUGCUACUCAAGAACUCUGAUUUAUGUAAUAACUCAGUACUUAAUUUGAGGUUUACUGUUUUAUUGUAUUUCUUCUGUGACUCACCUUCGAGUGAGAUUGUGGAAUUUGAUCCUGGUUAAGUGGCUCUAUCAGACUAGAUCUGAAGGACUGACGGGUUAUUCCGAUUUAAGUUGGAAUAAUUCGGGUGGUUCUUAGGCACUUAAGCUGGAAUAAUUCGGGUGGUUCUGCCACAGCUGGUAUCGGAGCAAAUUCCACCACAGAGAAGGACAAUAAACCAUGAAUACCAAUUUUCAAAAUCUAAAACUUGCCUAGAAACUGCUAUGGAUCGUCAAGACUAGACCGCUAGACCUAGGACGAAAGGCCUUAGGCAUAGAGGGAGAAAUAGGUGGCUAAUUAAUUAGGCCCCGUGGGCUAGUACUUAUAUUUUUAAGGAUGCCCUAAAAAGCACCCUAUUUUCUUUUGAGAGGCAACGUUUCUUCCAGCAUGCAUGCAUUAUAAAACACAAAGAGGAAUUAAAACUUGAGCUAACCCACUUUCUUAGAACCAUUCGGGCUCUCUUUUUCUUUUUCCUUCCACCAUAAUCUUUACCUUUGAUUCCCUUCCACAGAUGAAUUCACCCACCCUCGCUAGUGGAGGAGACUCUCGUUUCAGUUCUGACUUCCUUUCUCGCGAUGGCUUUCCUCCCAUCUUGUGGGAAGUGCUUAACUCCGCCGGUUACCCUACGCCCCCUUUGUACACGGUGCAGUUGUAUGAGGAGCAUCGGGUACCUUGUUGUCGGGUCUGGCUGACUUUGGAGGCUCAUCCCCUUCAGCCGGGUUGGCGUUCUCUUGAUUCUAAGACGAUUGGACUCAGGACGGACGACACCGUUGAAGCGGCAGCCAUGAAGACUCUGAAGACUUUCUGUGGCUACCAUCUCCUAGAGAUGGUGAUGCACCCCUUGGGACUCUUCCCUGCUGAGAAGAAGGAUGAUCCCAUGUGGUGCAACCGCGUGAGCCAUGUAAAGGAUGUGUGGGCAAUGUAUCCUGACUUGGUUGGGAGGGUCACUGUUCAGUGCAUGAUUGCGCUGUACCGCCUUCAGGCCCUUCAGAGCGAUGCUAUGGCACUCCUUGCUAACACCGCUCAGACUGCCAAGCUCACUCUCUACAGUCGGGAAGAUUUUGUGGUCGACCUAUCCACCGAGUUGGUGGAGAAGGAUCUACAGGUAGAGAGGCUGAGCCAGCGCAUCACCACCUUGGAGCAGCAGGUGGAGAUCCGAGACAACACUAUUGAUGUCUUGGAGAAUCAGCUUCACGAUGUGCAGAGGGAACUCGAGGAAGCGAAUGACCACUUGGACAUGCACCACCUGGAGAUGGAGGCCAAUGAAGCAGGAAGCGAGGGAGAAGAGGCUCCCGAGGAGCUAGGACCAGCCCCAGGUGCCAAUGGGACUACCUCUGCGAUGCCUCCUUCACCCGUAUCCAGUGUCGCUUCCACCGCUCAGGGAUAAGCAGUCGCUUCGACACUUUUAGGCGGAUAGAAACCUAUGCGAGCUUAGUAGUUUCAGAUUUUGGACUAGGCUUAUGGGUACUUUCCCCUGAUUGAUGUAACCCUGUGAGCUUUUGCAAUCUGUGGGAUAUUGGUCACCAUGUUAUCUUCAUUUCGGACUUAAUAUUAUGAAUAUGGCAUUUUUCCUUCCAUAUGAGAUGAUAUCUUGUCGUUCGAACUAUGAGUUGGGAUAACAAUGGCGACAAUCUCUGUUUUUAGAUGGCAGCUAGGCAGCGUCGCGGGCAUAACGAGCAGGUUCCCCCGCCACCUCCUCCAGCUCCCACAGUGUAGGAGCUGAUGGCCCAGCAGAAUGAGAUUUUGCGACAACUCUUGCAGCGCCAGCCCCACCCUCAGCAGCAUGGUGGAGUCCAGCAUCAGCGACCUCCGGCUAUGGCAACUUACCAGGAGUUUCUGAGCACGCAGCCACCCUUGUUCACCAAGGCAGAGGAUCUGUUGGACGCCGACGUAUGGCUUCGCGUCGUCGAGUCCAAGUUUCCCCUCGUCACAGGAGACUGCCCUGAUGAGGCCAAGGCUCGCUUUGCCGCACAGCAGCUUCGCGGCCCUGCUCGGACUUGGUGGGACCACUUCCGUGCUAUGCUCCCCGCUGAUCGGGAAGUAUCUUGGGAGGAAUUCAAGACUGCCUUCAGAGGACACCACAUCCCAGCUGGCAUUCUUGAUCGGAAGUUAAAUGAAUUUCUGGCCCUUAAUCAAGGAACCCGCACGGUACUGCAGUAUGCGCAAGCCUUCAACGACUUAUGCCAGUAUGCAGGGUAUCAUGCUGAUUCUGAUGAAAAGAAGAGGGAUCGCUUCCGCAGGGGUCUCAAUACCAAGCUGCGGGAACGACUCAACAUUGUCCGGGCUGAUAGCUUCAAUGAGUUGGUCAACAUGGCCAUCUCCCAGGAGGAUUGCAUUGUUGCUCACCGGGCAGAGAAGAAGAGAAAGGCACCAAUGGCAGCACCAUCCGCUCAGGCUCAGAGGUUCCGGAUUGUUUCUCACAAUCAGAGCAGGGAUUUUCAGCAGCAGGCAGGCAGAUGGGUGAUCAGGCCACCUCAGCAGCAGCAGCCGGCACCCAACCGCUUCCCCGCUCCCGCCCCAAGGAACAAUCAGCCUCCGCAGCAGCAGCAGUUCCGCCAGGGCAAUGGGAACAAGUGUUUCACUUGUGGUAAUGUGGGCCACUAUGCCAAGAAUUGUCCCAAGAACCAGCAGAGGCAGAUGCCAGCACCAAAUCAAGACAAGGGAAGAAAGCAGAAGGUGCAAGUCAGGCAAGGGAAGGUCAACUUCACUACUCUGGAGGAAGUACCUGAAGGAGCUCCUAUCAUGACCGGUAUCUUUUUAGUUUAUAAUCAACCUGCUUUAAUUCUGUUUGAUUCUGGUGCAUCUCAUAGUUUCAUUAGCCAAAAGUUCAGUGCUAAAUGUAAACUGCCAUUCUCUCACUCAAAAGGGUCAUUCAUGAUAGUCACACCUGGGGUAAAAUUGCAACUAAUCAAUUAAACCAAAGUGUGCCUAUUCAACUGGGAAGCCACAUUGUCAAAACCACUCUUCUUGUGCUGGGAUUGGAGAAUGUGGACAUUAUCCUAGGAGCAAAUUGGAUGACCUUGCACCAAGUUGUGCUUGAUGUAGCCAGUCGUACCGUGGAAGUAAAUUCUCCGUUCCGCGGGAAUUUCACUUUAAUUCUGCCUAGUCAGGGUUCUACUCAGUCAUGUGCUUUCUCUAUGACGGAGUUACCUCUGAAGAAGAUCCCAGUGGUCUGCGAUUAUGCAGAUGUCUUCCCUGACGAAUUGCCGGGAAUGCCACCAGACCGGGAUAUUGAAUUUGCCAUCGAGUUGCAACCGGGAACGGCCCCAAUUUCCAAGAGGCCCUACCGAAUGCCACCCGCUGAGUUGGCAGAAUUGAAGAAGCAAUUGCAAGAGUGGCUGGAUAAGGGAUUUAUUCGCCCAAGCACUUCGCCUUGGGGAUGUCCAGCACUGUUUGUAAAGAAGAAGGAUGAAAGCUUGAGGCUAUGUAUAGAUUACCGCCCUCUUAAUGCGGUAACUAUCAAGAACAAGUAUCCUUUGCCUCGUAUUGAUGUUCUCUUUGACCAGUUGGUCGGGGCUAAGGUAUUUUCCAAGAUAGACCUUCGCUCUUGCUACCAUCAGAUCAAGAUACGAGCGAGUGAUAUUCCGAAGACGGCAUUCUCAACCAGAUAUGGGCUAUAUGAAUUCUUGGUGAUGUCAUUCGGGCUGACAAAUGCACCAGCAUAUUUCAUGUAUCUGAUGAAUUCUGUUUUCAUGCCGGAAUUGGACAAGUUCGUGGUGGUUUUCAUCGAUGACAUUUUGGUGUACUCAAAGAACGAAGAAGAACAUGCCGGGCAUUUGCAUGUAGUGCUUCAACGUCUGCGAGAGCACCACCUUUAUGCCAAGUUAUCCAAGUGUGAUUUUUGGCUAAAGGAAAUCAAAUUCUUGGGUCACACUAUCUCUCAGGCAGGAAUAGCUGUUGAUCCUGAUAAAGUGCAAGAGGUGAUGAAAUGGAGGCCACCAACGACUGUUCGCCAGAUUCGGAGUUUUCUGGGAUUGGCUGGUUAUUACCGAAGAUUUAUUCCGGACUUCUCUCGGAUUGCGAAGCCUAUAACUGAGUUGCUGAAGAAAGAAGUCAAAUUUGUUUGGAGUCAGAAGUGCGAGGAUGCCUUCCAUGCAUUAAGGCAGCAUCUGACCACAGCACCAGUAUUGGCGCAACCCGACAACAGCAAGCCUUUUGAUGUGUAUUGCAAUGCCUCUGGCACCGGGCUAGGUUGUGUCUUGAUGCAAGACAACCGAGUCAUUGCUUAUGCCUCAAGAGCACUCAGGCCUCAUGAGCAAAAUUAUCCCACUCAUGACCUCGAGUUGGCAGCAGUGGUUCAUGCAUUAAAGAUGUGGAGGCACUAUCUAAUGGGAACCCACUGCAACAUCUUCACUGAUCAUAAGAGCCUUAAGUACAUUUUUACUCAGGCUGAUCUCAACAUGAGGCAGAGAAGAUGGCUAGAGCUGAUCAAGGAUUAUGACCUGGAGGUACAUUAUCACCCAGGAAAAGCUAAUGUGGUAGCAGAUGCCUUGAGUCGGAAGUUGCAAUGCAACUGUAUUCUGAUGGAUUCUCGCGUUAACACCUUGUGUGAUGAGUUGAGCAAGAUGCAAAUUGAAGUGAUUCCUUCUGGUUCCUUGUCUCACAUUUCUGUUGAGCCAGCUUUGCAAGACCAGAUUAUCAUGGCCUAGCUCAGUAAUAAGGGAGUGCAAAUUAUCAAGAAGAAUCUCCAUCAAAAGGUUGAGAAAUAUAAUUGUUUCCGCCAGGAUGAAAAGGGUGUGUUAUGGUUCAAAAGCAGAUUGGUGAUUCCUAAGGACCAGGACCUCAAGAGGAAAAUUUUGGAUGAGGCUCAUCUCUCCAAAUUCUCUAUGCAUCCGGGAAGCACCAAGAUGUACCAUGAUCUGAAGCCUUUAUACUGGUGGACCAGAAUGAAGAGGGAGAUAGCCCAGUAUGUAUCAGAAUGUGACACCUGUCAGAGGAUAAAGGUAAGCCACUUGAAGUCAGCUAUAGCUUUGCAACCCCUGUCCAUACCUUCGUGGAAGUGGGACGACAUCAACAUGGAUUUCAUUGUGGGUCUGCCCAACACCUCUCAUCAUCAUGAUUCAAUUUGGGUUAUUGUGGACCGAUUGACGAAAGUGGCACAUUUUCUUCCUGUGCACACCACUGAUAAGGCUCAGAAGUAUGCAGAAUUGUAUAUUGACCAGAUCGUGUGUUUGCACGGAUUACCUCGGACCAUUGUUACUGACCGAGGAGCCCAAUUUGUUGCCAGAUUUUGGGAACAAUUGCAAGAGUCUUUGGGAACCAAGCUAAUCAGAAGUUCAGCUUACCACCCACAGACUGAUGGUCAAACGGAAAGGGUAAACCAAAUUCUAGAGGAUAUGCUGAGAGCUUGUGCAAUCGAUUAUGGCAAGAACUGGGAUAAGCACCUCUCCUUGGCAGAGUUUGCUUAUAACAAUAGUUAUCAAUCCAGCCUAAAGAUGGCACCUUUUGAAGCUCUCUAUGGAAGGAGGUGCAGGACACCACUCAAUUGGUCUCAACCUGGAGAAAGAGGAGUUUUUGGACCUGACUUAGUGACUGAAGCCGAAAGGAAGGUCAAACUAAUCAGGAAGAAUCUAGAAGCUGCUCAGGCCAGGCAGAAGAGUUACCAUGAUAAAAGAAGGAAACCUCUCCAGUUCGAGGUGGGAAGUUUUGUAUACCUCAAGGUAUCACCCACCAAGGGAGUGCAGAGGUUUGGGAUCAAAGGCAAGCUAGCCCCUCGUUACAUUGGACCUUACGAGAUCAUAGAAGCAUGUGGACCCGUGGCAUACAAGCUGAAGUUACCUUCAAAGAUGUCUGCCAUUCACAGUGUAUUCCAUGUAUCUCAGCUGAAGAAAUGUGUUCGAUUGCCGACCGAGAUCUUAGCAGAGCCAGAAUUGGAGAUAGAGCCAGAUCUAUCGUACCAAGAGUACCCCUCCAAGAUUCUGGAUUGCAAAGAAAGAUCAACUCGGGCUAAAUCGAUCAAGAUGUACAAGGUCCAGUGGAGUAAUCACUCAGAGGAGGAAGCUACUUGGGAAACCGUGGAAUUCUUGAGAUCCAACUUCCCCGAUUGCCUACCUAAGGAAGUUGGUACGUAAUCACCCCCAACCCCUCCUCCUGCCUUUCGAAUCUAAUUUUCAAAAAUAUGAUCUUAAUUUAGAAUGAAGUAACUAUGAAGUAAAACUUAAAAGGACUUCCUUCUGAAGUUGCAAAGAGAAUGACAUUCGAAGAGCAGUUUUACCCUAACAAUAACAAUAAUCACCCAUUUCCUAUAAGUCUCACCCUUCGCUUCACCCUGGGAGGACUCUGGCCCGAAUCUCGGGACGAGAUUCCUUUAAGGGGGGAAGGCUGUGACACCCCAGUGUCACCUAGGGUUUCUCUCAAAUGCCAAACCAAGAACCCUUAUUUCAUGAGAACCAAAGUAAGCAUGAGCAUCAAAUUAACUUAAGUAAUAAAGGAUUCACCAAGUAUAUACUUAAAAGUAUCAUGAUCAAAACAAUUAAGUCUUUUAAAAAAGGUAAGAAUGUGCAACCCUAAUAAAAACCCUAAGUGAGCCCCAUGAGCAAAAUUAAAGAAAAUAAGGAAAAGGGUAUGAAAGAUUUGAAAUUGUGACUUGAGCCAAUUAUAAAAAUUGAAGUAUAUUUAAUGAGGAACAAGAAAGAUUAAGAAAGCUUGGCCAAAAUAACUCAAAUAAAACCCCAAAUCAAGCUUCUCAUGUGGGGACUUAAUGGGAAUUCUGAAUUUCAGAAUUCUGAAAUUCAGACCUUGAGCCAAAGAUCAGGGAUGUUCACCUUGAUCCCUAACUCGAAUCCUAAUGGCCCCAUUAACAAAAUUGUGUCUAACUAACCCCUCUGUCGUGUGCGAGAAGAUGGCAUUGGGACGCUAGCCCUAGACACGACAAAACCUUGGAUUUGCCUCGGGUUUGAGCAGGGAGACAGACCGGAUUUCCUGGCUCCAUAUCUCUGCAACCAGUAGGCAAAAUCCUAUGACCCCCACACAAGAUCGGUAGCUUGUAGGGAGGAGAAGUGGUUUUGUGCACUGACCAAGGCGAGAGCAGGCUCGGAUGAGCGACCACACGCGCCAGAACUUGGGCAGAACGCACGGGCACACGUGUUCGACCCUGGUCGGCACGCUAGAGCUCGCCUAACCCGCGCGCGCGCUCGCCCCGGCGUCCGGUCAAGUCCGUCGCGCGCCCUUGCCCUCGGCCGUGCCCGCCCUCGCCUAUAAAGCCUCCCCGGAGCACCUCACUUCGCCCCGCACUCAUCUUCACCGGCCGACCACUUUCCCUUAGCUCCGGCGAGCUUAAUUCCGCCCGCCAUUGCCGCUAGAGCUUCGGCCACCGUGGCCAGCCCACUCCAGCCACCCUCGUGUCAAGCCAGUGCUUCGGCUAGCUCCGCCAGUGGCCCGUGAAGCUUGCCAAGCCCUCGGACCAGGCCGGACUUCACCGGAGGCCCGAGAUCGACCUCACCGGACUUCGGUCUUCCGCCGCCGCGCGUGGACCAAGCUAUCCAGUGAGUCUCCGACCAAUUCCUUGCGCUCAUAUCUUUUUUGGCAUCCUGUGAACCUCUCUGACCCAUCCAAUUGAACUAUCUCGCCGUGAGCAGGCCAGACUCCUCGUCGCCGACGAGCAUCCCCGCCUGCGUGCGUGGACCGACCGACUCCGGCCAUCUCCGACGGCGACCCGCACACCGUUGUGAUCCCCGAGACCUCCCCUACGUCCUCGACCACUUCACCGGAGCAAUCUCGCCGCCGGUAAGCCCCUCCGCCCUUUCUUCCGUCGCGGUCACUGUUUAAGUUAGGAGAAGGACCUCGGGUUAGGAUUUGAAGAACCCGAGGGGUUUUCUGUAACGUCAGUGACUCAUGUGAAUAGUAGCCUAAGGACUGAUCCGCGAAGAAAACUUAGAAAACCCGCCAGGGACCCCAGUGCAAAGUGGAUUUCCAUUUAAUCAAUUCUGUUAAUCUUUUUUUUAUGACCAGAGAACUUAGAAAAUCCAUAACUUAAUGAAAUCUUAAUAAAGAGUUGUCAAACUAAUUUUGCUAGAUUUUGAAUAUUAUGGACUUUCAUUUAAAAAUGAUGAACCCUAUGCUUUCUGUUCUUAAUUUUAGAGUUUAAAAUUAAAAACAGAAACCUACCAAACCUUGUUUAAUUAAGGAAAAUUAGUUUUUCUUCUGUACUGAACCUAAGAAAAUUUGUAGAUGUUCAAACCUCACUUAAGCACUGUUUAAAAAUAGUAGGAACCCCAGCAUUGAAGAAUAUAGUGUAGAUAUUCAUGUAAAGCUAUUUUACCCAAAACUUAGGAAAAAUCAGAAAGGCAUUAGAAAUUAAUGAAUAGAGAGUAAAAUUAUUUUUCCUAGUUUGCUUAAGUAACAGAGAACCUAGGAAAAAUAAAGAGACCAUUAGUUCAGACCAGUUUUAAAUUAAAAUGUUUUAUUUAGCCUUAUUUGGACUGAAAAUCAAUUAUUAGAGAUACAAAACUAUACCCAAAAUGGAUAAUAAAAAUCCAGUGGACUUACAACCACCAGAGCCCCACUACAAAAAUAGAGAACACCUCAGCCCAACUUUUUAAGUAAGGAAAAUAAAUAUAAAAUGCUAAUGAGGCAUUUUUCAAAUAAAUCAUGAACAACCCCUAAUAAUGUGAUAAUGGGCAACCAAAAAUUUGGUAAGUCCAUAAUGAGAUAAACCACCAGAGAAAAAUGCAAACCCAUGAAAAAGGAGCAAACUCAGACCUAUCGCUAGUAUUUUAUGAGAAAGGCCACUUAAAUCAAAUAAUGCAUACCACCCCUUCCCUUAAGCAAAAAGAGGCCAAAUUUCAGAAUGAUUGCUCUUGCACAAAACAAUAACUAAGAAAAAUGAGAACUCUGUUGUUUGAUAUUUUUCAAAUAUAGUGGUAGUAGAAAGCACCUACUUGGCUAGAAACUUGAGAAAAUCAUAGAAAAAUAAUUAAAAGGUAUUAAUGACUAGAAAUUUGUAUCAAGUCAUGUUAUAACACCUAAAAGCCAGCAAAAAUAAGUUUUAGAGAAAUACCCACUGUUAAAUGAUAGUUGUAGUUCAAAGCACCCCUUCUGCCCUAGAAUUUAAUAAUUUUUUUCAGAGAAAACUAUUCACUUUCUGAUCCCCAAAUUUUGAGACAGAGAAACAUACACCAGUACCCAGCCACUGUAAUGUUUGCAGAAUUUUUAGAAUUUUAUAAAAGCAACUUGUAGUUCAAACCUACUCCAAAACCUUAAGAGAAUAAAAGAAAAGGAAAGAAGGAAUAAACCUCACCCCAAUAAGCCUAACUUGGGAACUGAUCAAUUCUCCCUAAGACUUAAAAAGAAUUCAGUGGAACCCCAAAAAUAAACCUACCACUUACCUUAGCUAAGUUUAACCCAAUUUACCAAGUAUACCACCCAAGGGACUUACAUAAGCAAAGUUAACCUUGUUUAACUCAAAGAAGAUCAUACACCUUUAAGUUGUAAUUUCUAAUAGCACAUAUCAUAUCAUGCAUAUAUCUUACGCAUUGCAUUUAUUAGAUUGUAAUCUUGCCGACGGAGAGUACGUGCUCAUCCCCGAGCAAGGACCUGUCCAAGAGGAAGACCAGGAGCAGGCUUCAGAGGCUGCUAUUGAGGAUCUCCCCGCAGCCCCAGCAAUUGAAGGCAAGCCCCGGUUUUAUGCAUAACCGUAUUAUUAUAUGCUACUUUACUACACUUAAUGCUUGUAGGAUUGCAAUGUGCACUUAAGUGUAGGAGUUGCUUGAAACCUCUAGUUGCAUGAACUUAGGAUUCCUUUUUGAGAUGAAUACUAGUAUGCUAGGUCGAGUAGCUGCUUGCUAAUCAGGAUCUCGGUAGAAGUCGAGUGAUUUUUCUAGCACUCGCGCGAGGUCAGGAAUUGAUUGUAUUCAUCUUGAUAACGGGAUAUAUGUUAGUCUAUGGACAUGGAUCCAGGGAGGAUGCCUUGUCCAUGAGACGGGAAAAAGGAAUUAAGGAUUAAUGUGUGGAUACCUGAGUCAAGCUUUUGAACGUACUAAGCACAUGCCGGGAAAAAUGGUAACCGGUAAACCUAGUACCUGAUUGAAGCCGGGUGCGGAUUUUAUCCCUCGUGCGACCUGAGACUAGGUCUCCCAUGCUAGCUAUGGUGGAUACAAGUGCGGUCACUGCACGGCGGCAGCCGGGGUCAGUGGAGCAUUGUAUGCCAAGGCGGUGAGGCCUGGACGCGAACGGGGAAUCGAUGGGGACGGUUGACAUGUGUGGGGACGGAGUGCCAUGACAUGUCGUGUGUUUAGGUUUACCUUGCAAGGUUAAAACUCGAUUCGAAUCGUCUGCUUCUCGCAGCUAAUGAGACUGCUUGACCCCUUGUACUGCAUCGAGUAAGAAGUGAAAUGUGGUUACAUGAGAUAACUUAUUGACUGAACUAAAUGAUUGUUACCAUGUAUGCUUAGAAGGAGCAAAUCUAGCUAAGUUAAUGAGGAUAGAAUUGGAAAAGCUAAAAACUGAUUUAGAAACAGCUAGUGCUUUUGGCAAACCAAACCCCUCAGCCAAACAGCUGCAUAGUCUAGAGGUAGAGGAGUAGACUCCUCACACCGGUUAAGUCUAGCUGAGUAUUAGUAUACUCAGCCUUGCUUGUGGCACAAUUUUUGCAGGUACCAUUUAGGAAAUGGUUGAUGGUGUGACUUGGCCUACCACCCUGCCACCGGGUUGGACGGUCGAGUGGGAUGUUGCUCCGACAGGAGAGGAGCACGAGGAGUAGUGGGCUAGGCCUUGCCCAAUUCCUCGAUACCGACGACAUCGAUUAUCCGCUGCACUUUAUUUUGUGACCUUUAUUUGCUACUCAAGAACUCCGAUUUAUGUAAUAACUCAGUACUUAAUUUGAGGUUUCCUGUUUUAUUGUAUUUCUUCUGUGACUCACCUUCGAGUGAGAUUGUGGAAUUUGAUCCUGGUUAAGUGGCUCUAUCAGACUAGAUCUGAAGGACUGACGGGUUAUUCCGAUUUAAGUGUGUUACGGCCCCUGAGGCGUGACUUAGGCACUUAAGCUGGAAUAAUUCGGGUGGUUCUGCCACUGCAGUUCUGCUGCCAAGGGAGAAGCAUCAUCAAAAGUAAAGGCAUCAUGAUUAAAUUCAUCAUACCAUCCAUCUUCGUUGAAUAAGCCUUCUUGACGAAGCUCCCUGUGUUGGGGCCAUCGAUCUUGUUCAUCUCGAGCAAGAUGACGCACUUCUUCAGUAGCUUCAUCGAUCUUCUUUUGAAGAUCAGCCAGUCGCGCCAUCUUCUCCUUCUUCCUUUGUACUUGCUGAUGGAUGAUUUCCAUGUCCCUGAUUUCUUGGUCCAACUCCUCCUCCUAGAGUGUUGGACUGGUGGCCUUCCUCUUCUGGCUUCGAGCUUCUCGGAGAGAAUGAGUUU
This 86822-nucleotide long non-coding RNA is filed under the name Zea mays. RNAcentral's name for it is "long non-coding RNA (ZMAY_LNC003209)". Lineage: Eukaryota; Viridiplantae; Streptophyta; Magnoliopsida; Poales; Poaceae. The record is from RNAcentral.